CUCUACCGAUUAUGGUAUUGCUUUCACCUCAUUCAAACUUGAUCAUCCGCAAAUCAAACCAAACAAUUAUAUGUUAGUAUUAUUAUUACUUUUAUUUGACAAAUCAGUAGUAUUAUUUCAAAAGGUAUGUUUUGUUUGUGUAAUUUGAAAUCAUUAUUAUUAUUAUUAUUAUUAUUAUUAUUAUUAUUAUUAUUAUUAUUAUUUAUUCUAGCUUAUUUACUUGUUUUAGUAGUAUAAAGAAUUUAUAAGUGUGAUUAAAAGUUAAAAUUCUUAGUUUUUGUAAUAAAUUUCUUAAAUUUGUAAAGGUAAUAACACGAUUUAACCAAACCAAACCAAUUAUUAUAUAAAUACUCUAAAAUAAUAAUAAUAAUUUUUUUUGAGAAAAAAUUAUUAUUUAUUUUGUUAUACUCUAAAAAUGAACGCUCGUAUUUUUUUUCUUCAUGUAAAUAUUCUUAGAUCUAGAAAGUGCUUCUUCAUCUCAUUAUAGCAUGUGUUUGGGUGUUCUUGGAAGAAUAAUCGCAGGUUACUCUUGUUGCUUUUUGAUGCCAUGGACCUGCUUAUGAAUUGGAAUAUAUUCUUAGUCAGAAUAAUGGAAAUAGUUUUUUUUCCGAAGUUAUGAGUUAUUAUUCAAGUAUCAGAAACUAGUGAAACAACCAUGUAUGAGUAAACUUGAUUGUGAGAUCUCACUACUACAGGAGUUAUGUUGUUCAGCAAUGUUAAAGUAACAAAGUUGCCUAGGAAGAGGAGAACCGUGCCGAGUAAAAUUAGGAUAAGAAGCUCACAAUCUGCGAAAGUAUAUCCAACAUAUGCUUCUUUUGGUUUAUCACUCAAUUAAAUUUUGCUGAUUUUAUUUCUCCUAGAAAAGAACUGACCAAUGGUUCCUAAAUCAAUAGAAGAUAUUCAACAACAAACAUGUUACUUUGAGGUUCAACAUAUGUUUGAAAUUUGGAUAAACUUUUUUUAAAGCCCCAAAAAAUAAUAAGGAUAAUAUCUGUAUGUUCCCAACAUUAUGAUUUAUGGCUUUUAGUAAAAGUGAUGGAAGAGUAAACUCGGUGAAAGUGAGAGCAGUAAAGAUAGUAGUGGCGAGUAAAAGUGGAGGAACAGAAUCACGAUUUCUUGUUUUGUUUUUAUAAUAUGUUCUAGCGGUGUUUGCCUUCAAUGGAUGUAAAAGAAAAUAAGGGAGGUGAGUGUCAUUUUGCAAAAUAGAGGGGGUAUGAGUGACAUUUUGACAAAACUCAAGGGAGGUCAAUCUAAUUUACCCUUUAUAUUAACCUUCUCCAUGGAUUAUCGGUUAAAGCAACACUACUUGCUUAAAAGAGCAAUUUUUUAGUUUCAAUGAGCCAUCCCGACAUUGAUGUUCUGAAAUCUUGGUCACCAAUAAAAAGUGAAGAUUUUAUAGUACCAAUAGUAAAUGGAUGGUUGAAUUGAUGAAUAACGUUUUUUUUUUUUUUGAAGGAAUGAAUAACGUUGUCAUUUAGUCAACCUAUGUGGAUGCAACACCUAUUCAAAAUGUAGUUGGUGGAAUUGGAGAAAAAAAGGGAGAGAUGGAGAGUGUGUUUUGUUGACUUAUUGUUACUUUACCAGGAGUACCUCUUUUCUUAAAAGAAUUUACACCUUCACUUUUGAAAUAAGUAUGUUUUAGUCAAAAAUAUAUAUUUUAAAAUAAAUGUUAUUUUUCAGUUUUCAAUACAAUAAUAACUUUUUCUUUUUAAUUUUAUUCUUCAACUAAUACACUACUUUUAAAAUAUUAUUUUUUCUUUAAUGAAAAUCAAACCAAUAGUUGAUUAUGAUAAUUUGGUAAAAUAACACCUCUCUUUCUUUUAAUUAAUGCAUUUCUUUAUGUGUGUAAAAUCUUAAACGACAUUUAUUUUAAAACGGAUGAAUUAUAAUUCUUUAGUUCCACAAUACUAUUUGGGAAAUGCUAACAACCACUCUUAGGCAUUUGAGAGCACAUAUAAAUUUUAUUUUGAAAAUUGUACAUUCAAGCCAUUGAAACCACAAAAAGUAAUAUUUUUUUCCAUAAAUUUCAUCAAUCAUUUCUAAUUUUAAAUCAUUAACAAGUGUCUCAGGGCACCUGCUAGUAUGACCUAUUUCUCAAACUUUUGAUAGUAUGCUAAUUGUAACGCCCUCUUUAAUUAUUUAAUUAUUUUAUAGAGUUUAGAGUCCACUUUAUAUGAUUUAUGUGAUUUUAUAUGAUUAUGUGAUGUGUUGAUAUUUUAUUUAAAGACUUCUUUUAUUAUUUACUAGAAUAAGUUUUGAAAAUAAAAUAAAUUUUGAGAUGUGGGGCUGUUUUGGAAUUUAGAAUAGUUUAGUGGAAAUAGAGGAAAUAAGAUAAAGUGGAUUGAGGAGAGGUAUAAGGAGGAAACUAGGUUUAGAAAAGUUUUCACGUGAAAUUGCUUUUUGGAGAAAAAGGGAGAAAACAAGAUAAGAGGAGAACCAAGAGGGAGAGAGACCGCCGAUCAUCAAUACUAAGGUAAAGGUGGGACUAACCUUCUUUAAUCAUAAGUAUGUAAUCCUGAUAAAGGGUUUAACCUUGUAGUUGUUAAUAGGUUUUGAUGUUGUAGAAUUAGGGUUUGAAACUAAAAUUGACUGUAGAAGGAGUAGAUAAUCCGAUGAAUUAUGUUGAUAAUUUGUGAACUUCAAAAAUAAUGUUUUGGGUCAAGUUUUAUAUGGUUUUAAGUGCCUUAUCAUGUAUAGAAAUGGUUAGAGAAUUUUUGGAAUCAAAUUUGGGCAUUGGGAAGUCAAAAUUGAGAUUUUGGGGUGAAAAAUGGGUUUUUCCCGAGUGCUGCACAGUGACAGCAUAUCCUGUUUCAUGUUAUUGCGUCUUUUUCACACCUUUCCGCUUUGAAUUGGGUUUCGGUGUAAACAUGAAAGUUUUAGAUAAUUAUGUUAGCUUUCCAAUGGCUUUGGAUUGACUUGAAAAUGAUUUUUAGUUUUUGAGAUAUGAUGAAAAUACUCCAAGGAGGUCUUAGUGAAAUCUUAUGAAAAUUCAGCAUAACCGUUUCUAAGUUAAUCCAAAACUUAUGGAAUAAUUCCAAAGCUCAAAACUAGAAGUACUAUGAGUUCAAUUAGGGUGUUUAAGAGUAUUUAACCUAUGUUGUGAGUCGACCCUUGGGGUAGGAAUGGAGGUUGUUAAUGAUUAUAAUGAGGUUCAAAGAGGAUGAAUAAGAUGAUUUAUAUUGAUGAUUAAAUGUGAAAAUAUUUAUAUAUUGUGAAAGAUAUUGAUAUCAAAUUGUAAUUGUUAUAUAUGAUGAUUAUUAUUGAUGGUGACUUGCUGCAUAUGUUUAAAUGGUGAUGUCUUGUUGUUGUGAUGAAUUAAUACCAUUAAGAUGUCAAGUUGUUAAGUUGUAAGAUGUUGAUCCAAAUUAUUGGAGUCAUAUGAGAUAUCUAAGUUGUUAAGUCGUAAGAUGUUGAGUCCAUUGCAUACUCAUUUAAGUCGAGGGCUUGAUGCCCUGUAAUGUAUAUUUAUAGGCUUAAUUACACUUUUGGUCCUCGUGUUUUGGCCUACUCACGAAACUGGUCCUGCCCUUUUAAAACAGAACAAAACGGUCCUUCAAUUAUCAUUUUUGUUGCAUUUUUCGUCCUACCCCCAUUUUAUUCUCCAAAAACGCAGAGAAAUGACAGUUUUAAACAUACCCCCUAUACUCAACCAUGAAAUAAACAAGAAAUAAAGCAUGUGGGUACAAAGAAUCCACUUUAUUCAACACACUAACCAAAAAAAACCCUAAUUUCUAACAUAUGUUUAAAAUUAGGUUUUUUUUUGUUAGUGUGCUGAAUAGAAUAGAUUCCUUGUGCCCACAUGUUUUAUUCCUUGUUGAUUUCAUGGUUGAGCAUAGGGGUAGGUCUAAAACCGCCUAAAACUACCAUUUCUCUGCGUUUCUGGAGUUUGAAAAUAGCAGGUAGGACGAAAAAUGCAACAAAAAUGAUAAUUGAAGGACCGUUUUGUUCUGUUUUAAAAGGGUAGGACCAGUUUCGUGAUUAGGCCAAAACACGAGGACCAAAAGUGUAAUUAAGCCAUAUUUAUACAUAUUAUGUUGAGGGUUUGAUGCCCUGUAAGUUGAGAGCUUGAUGCCCUGUGAGCCUAUUUACGCUUAUACGUUGAGGGCUUGAUGCCCUGGUUGGUACCACAUGCAUGAUUAAGAAGUUGAAGUUGCAUAUGUUGAGUUUAAGUUGUAUAAGUCGCAUUGUCGUUGUCGUUAAGUUGUCAAUUGUCAAUGAGUUGUUAAUAAAGAACUAAGUGAAAUAUUAAUAUUUAUUAAUCGUGGUUGUUUAUGUUAUUAUGAGAUGAUGAUUAUGUUGUGUUGUUUAUAUUAUUAUGAGAUGAUGAUUAUGUUGUGUUGUUUAUAUUAUUACGAGAUGAUGAUUAUGUUGUGUUGUUUAUAUUAUUAUGAGAUGAUGAUUAUGUUAUGUUGUUUAUGUAGUUAUAAGAUGAUGUUUAUAAUGUGAUGAUUAUGUCGUUAUAUGAAGAUGUUUAUGAUUCGAUUAUUAUGUGCUAUAUGAUGAUGUAUAUAAUGCGAUGAAUAUGAAGUUAAUAAUGAUUAGAAGUUGAUUUGAGUUAUUAAUGAAGUAUUGUAAGAAGGAUUAUUAUUAUUAAGUGAUGAUGUCUAAGUUGUUAAAUGCAUUUGUUGAAUUAUAUGCUUAUUAUUAUUGAAUGUGAAAUCUCACCCCUUCUGCUUGGAAAUGUUGCUCUUCGUAUGAGUAACUUGCAGGUGAUCGAGUUUAAGUUACUGUUAGAUUGCUGUUGUGAGUGGACUAUCCCUCACGUGUGUCUUUAGGUGCUCUGAUACGUAACGGGAUGGGGAUCUUUAUUGUUUUCCAUAUGUUACGUGAUUUAUUAUGACUUUUAUGUUGAAGACUGUUUAGACUGGAUUUUUAUUAAGUUGUUUAAGUUGAGGCCGUUGUGCCAACAUGAUGUUUUAUUAAGAUAUUUUCCGCUGCAUUGAGAUUUAAUUUGAUAUUAUGAAAUGAUUGAAAUAAAUUGUUAUUUAUUCCAUUUAUGAUUUUUAAGAAGUGUAGCAUUCCGUUUAUGUGGAAAACUCUCAUUAAUUGUUAUGAAAUUUUUAUGUUGGAAAACGGGGUGUUACAAUUGGUAUUAGAGCAGGUCGGUCCGUCCGGCCAAGUAGUUGAGUCGUUUGUGUCGUGUGACAGUUGAAUACUGUCGUUGUAUUUUUCUAAUUAACAGUUAUGUUUUAUUGUGUGAUCACGUUUGACCGACUAACUUUAAUGUGGUUUAUGUGUAUUGUUGAAGUUUCUAUUUUGUUAUAUAUAGUUUAAGAUAUUUAAGCAAUAAUUAAAUUCAUUUUUCUCUUGUGCUUUGAAUUUCGAGGACGAAAUUCUUUUAAGGGGGUAGAGUUGUAACGUCCUCUUUAAUUAUUUAAUUAUUUUAUAGAGUUUAGAGUCCACUUUAUAUGAUUUAUGUGAUUUUAUAUGAUUAUGUGAUGUGUUGAUAUUUUAUUUAAAGACUUAUUUUAUUAUUUACUAGAAUAAGAUUUGAAAAUAUAUUAAGACAUGUUGUGUGCAACCAACAUAUGCAAAAGUAAAAAAGUAAUUUUUAUCCGUGUUAGAAUUCAAUAUUACGGUUCUAUUUCAAGGUUUAACUUUUAGUAAAUAAUGUCUAUAUUAAAUAUUAUUUUCAACAAAUAUUAUUAAUUAAACUAAAUUUUUGUUUUAAAAAGUUCUUGCACUAAUGGAGUUGAAGUCUAACGGAAAGAGUUAGUGUAUGUUUGAUGUCACGGUGGAUAUCCCAGAAUCACGGUGAUUCACAGGGAUGUUACAUAAGCUACAAAGUAGCUUUUGAAAAAUCAUAGUUGAUCUCCGUGAUUUUGACAUUUCCACCGUGAAAUCAAACAUAGGCUUAAACUCUCACAAGAUGAAUCAAUAUUCGAAUAUUGACUAAGAAUGAUACCCAUAUUUAGUGUUAUACAUGUUUCAAAUAAAAUUUUAUAUUUAGUUUUCUUUAUUUUUAUGUUUCAAAUAAAAUUACAUAUUUAAUUUUCUUAUAUAAUUUAUUAAGGAUAAUUUUAUAAAAUAAUUCAUAAUAUAUAUUACAUCCGUCCUUAAAUAUAUGACCUUUUUCAGAAUUAUAUACUGCUGGCUUUGUGAUUCCAGUGAUUUCUUUCAAACAACUUUUUGGUGGUGACACCCUUAAAGUAAAUAAGUAAGGAAGAUGAGGUUUGAAUCAUAUCCAAUAAUUGACUAUAUUAUGACCAAGAAUGUUCUUUUAUCAGAUAAUUUGAAGAAAAUGUUAGCUGUGUACAUUGCAAUAAGUUUUACUAACAUUCCCUAAAAAAAAAAAAAAAAUUACUGACAUACUUUUAGAUGUACUUUUAAACGUACCGUUAAAUAUUGACAAUUCACAAACUUACAUUCAUCUAUAAAUAUAGGACAUUUUUUUUUUAUUUUUAAGUAUUCUCUUUUUAAGGACAUCUUCAUAAUUUCGAUUGGAUUAAUUAUUUUUUCAAUCAAAAUGCCCCCGAUUAGUUUACAUUUUUUGUAACCAAUAAGUAAAUAAUAAAUGCUAUGAAGAAGGAAAAUCGCUAAAGUCGGUAUUAAUUUCCUAGUGAGAGAAACUCCAACUUCCCUUUAGGCUUUCUUUCUCCUUCAUUCAUAAAGGGUAAGUGGUUUUAGGUCAGUUUUUAACCUAAAAUCACCCCUCUAUAUUUUUUUUCUUCUUUCCUUUUCUUUCAAUUUAAAUAAGUGGUUUUCAAACAUAUCAAAUUUUCUUUGUGUUUCGUCGUCUAAGUGUGGUGUUGUGUUGUUCAUCGUCUUGUACGACAUUUGAAUUCGCGUCUUGUCGCGGUGUCCAUUUAGUUCCUAUUGAAAGACCGACAUCAGUUCCGAAAGCAUGGGUAUUUCGAUGACUUAGAUUUUAUCAUAUUAUUUGUAGGCAUUUUACUGAUUAACUUGGGAGCUGUGUGUUUGUUUGCAUAUUCACCCUUUACGUUUUUAGCGAUGUUUAUAUCUGAUGUACUCUAUCAAUUUAAAUGAAUGAAUAUCGUUGUUUUUGUAAAAAAAAAAAUACUAUGAAGGAUAAACUCAGAAAAACAAUAUCAAUAAUUGAUAGCAUGUUUAAUACUACUACUAACUUUUUUAUUUCAUGUGAUUUGGUUAAAGAAAUAUUAUAUUUAAUUUAAAGACGGAGGUAGUGUAUAAAACAAUCCAACAAGAUUGUAAGUUGUUUCCUAAAGAAACAAGCAUUUAUACAAUAAAUGAUUCCAAACUGAAAUUGAUAAACCUGUUUUCAAGCACAGAGGUCUAAAUUCGACUAAUGUUGCAUCACUUGAAACAACUUCAAAAUUAUAGUUUCAAAACUAAAGUAUGAUCAUCAAAGCAAAUAAAACCAUAUGAGGCACAACCUCAAACUUAGGCAUUUGAAGAUUUUAGUGCUCUGUGGGCCAAAGAAGAACAUAUCAGCAAACAUUGCAAGGUACCCUAAGCAGAAGAAGCAGGUUGAUGGUUUAUGACCAAUGGAGGACGAAGAGCUCUGUGGGUUUCCUCCUUCUCUUUGCGGGCCUUGUACAUCUCCUCUGUCUCAACAACAACUAACCUCUUGACCUAUAUCAAAUACAAAGUUUACCAAUGUUGUUAGUAUACAGGGAGAUAGGUCAUUUCAAAAUGGAUAUGAUAUAUCUUGUGUUGAAACCUGCUGGAUCAUUCCCCUAACAGUAGGUGUGUUCCAUCGCAUAACAGUUCGGUUGCAUUUGCCGAGGCGUAGUGCUUCCAAAGUGCGCCUAUGUUGCUUCCUGGUCCCCGGAAUACCCCUCACUAGCGUUAUAUAGAGAUUGGGGCUAUAAGCAAUUGGGACACAUGACUUAUAUGCCUUGAACGCAUUCAUGCUCAUGCCUAAAACUUGAAGUCAGAACAGCAAUGGCAACAACGAAUCAAGUUAACACAGUUUUUUAUUAUCUAACUGGAUAGCAAUCAUAUUUGGCUUGUAUGCACAAUAAUAGAUAAAGAGAAAAUUUAAAUAAAAUUGUAACGAAAACACUUAGAGAUUGGUUUAUGCAUAUGGUUCAAUUAACUGAACCAAAAUAAACAACUCCAUUUUAUGGUCCGGCUUUUGCAAACUGAACCAUUUUCCUCCCCUCACACUAGUUUUGAGUUUUGUGAACCAAUUUAACCGAUCGGGUUGUUAUAUUAUAUGACAUGUAAACCGAUUUUGAUUCUGAACUAGUUUAAAAUCAGUAUUUGCCUAAACUGUUAACACCAAAUCCCCAUGACAUUUCAAAAAAUACAUGCUAGCAAAUUUUUGCAAUACAGUGACACCAUACAUCACGGUUAUGCUUUCUAUAUGUGACCACAUUAUAACAAUCAUUUAAGAGAUUAAACAUUAUAUCAAAUUUUUAAAAGAUGAAAUAUAUAGCAAAUUUUUGCAAUAAAGUGACACCAAACAUCACAGUUAUGCCUUCCAUACUAAAAGUUGUACUACACCUAAAAUUGACAACUGAUGCAUCUAAUACGAACAGUUGAUAUUCAUUCAGAAUCCUAACAACAAACUGAAAAACAACAAGCUCAACCAUAUUUAUAUAUAAUAUGUUGGCAAUUGCAUAUCGAAGAAAAGAGCGGUUUGUUCAAAUUUCGCUAUGCAACAGUGCUAUAACGCCGCUAUAGCAGCUACUUCACAAUAUUUUGUACUAAAACUGAAAGGUUAUUAUUCAAUGACAUUAUAUACUGAAACUGAAAGGUUAUUAUUAUUAUGAAGCAUGAAUUGGGAAGCACACAUGAGAACGAGCAAUCAUUCGAUGUUAUGUUAAACUUUCUUCAAUACUAAAGCCAGCAGAUUCAGACCUGCCAGGCGAAAUAUAGCACAGCAAAACCCACUAAACAAAAAAAUGAUUGAGUUUAGUUGUAUCCAAUUUAAGCAUAUGUUGCAGGAAAAUUCAUGAGGAAUGAACUAAGAAAAGACAUCAGAAGAAUAAUGUGCUCCUUGCUGAAGUUUUAAUCAAGAAAACAAAAGCAAGGCUUUAUUUAAAUUUUCAGCUCUAUACCAUACUAUGACAUAUGAAUAAUGAGAAACACGCUUAAUCGGAACAAUCUAAAUUCUACAUAAUCAUCAAGCUAUAGUAAAAAGAAAAAAAUUCUCUAAACUUUUUGUCUCUGUUGUAUGGACACUUCUGAUUGAAGGCGUGUCUGGUGUUCAACACCAACACAUGUGAUUAGACUCAACUAUGUUAUUUUCUUAAAUUACUAGCAGUGUGGACGUGUAAGUGUGAGGUAACCAUGCUUCAUAGCAGUUGUUUGUUCCAUAAUAAACCAUUCAUCAAUACUUCCACGCCCAAAGAGGAAGCUAAAUGAUUAAUCUCGUACAAGAGAACAAUUAGAUUGAUCAACAUUCUUUUUGUUAACUCAUCUUCCUCGUUUGAAUUAAUAAAAGCAUAAUUAACAACCUAAACCUUAACAUUGGAUCCAUCAAUCAAUGAAAACACAAAAUUUGAGGGCUUUUUCAGUAUGAAAGCAUAAUGUGAGCAAAGUAAGAGAAUCAAAGAGUUACCUCCUACACGGUGGUUCCGUCAAAACAGGGGCCGGGAUGGCAAGGAAAGUAGCGGCCGUCGGCGCUAAAGUUGGGAUUGAAGGGGAACGCUGAUUUGAGAAGGAUGAUGAACUUUGCUUUCAACUAAUUCUCUUUUAUGUCUCUAUUCCCAUCUCCGAAAUUCAGUCUAUUCGAACACCAUCUCUAACUACAACUUAGAUUAAGCGAAUCGUUUUACAUGAGUAUCAACAAAAUGAUUUUUUUACGAGAAAAUGAUUAAUAAUAUUGAUUUUAAUGAUAAAAUAUCCAUCAUAUAAUAUAAUACACUUUUUUUUUAACCAAAAGAAUACACUAUUUUUAUAGUUUUUUUUUUUUUUUUUUAUGAUCAGGAUUUGAACUCCGGAAUUUACAAAUACCAUAUACUGUGCAUACCAACUGAGAUAAGUUUAUAGUUAAUGUGUAGUUAUAAAUAAUUAAAAUGUAAUAAACAAUGUAUAUUAAUGAAAAAGAAUAAUAUACAUUGUAUUAGUAUUAUAAAAGAGAUAAAUAAACCGCUAAAUUGGUUCAUAUUUUUGUAAGUCGUUAUCAAAGUAGUCAUCAACUCUAUUGAUAUUUCAAAUUAAUUUGUGUCUUAAUUAAAAGUUUCUCAAUUAGGUUUUUAUCUUUAUGUUUUUGUCACAAGGCGAAAGACUUAAUUGAAAAAUCUUUUAAUAAAAACUAGUUUGAAAUAUUAAUAGAGUCACAAACUAAUUUGAGAGUGACUUAUAAAAACAGGAAUCAAUUUGACAGUUGAGACAAAUCAUUUUAGACAAAAAUAAUUAAUAAAAAUAAUAUCUAAUUUGAGACAAAAGAAGGAGUAUUAUUUUUAUAACCGGAUGUUUAACAACAAAAUUAGCGGUUAGUUAAUAAUUAGGCUUGGUUUGUUUAAAAAAUAAUCUAUUUUUUUAUUAAAAAAAAUUACUUUUGUCGUUUUUUAUUAGGCUAAACAUCACUUUUCACCUCUAAAUUUUAAGAUGUUGCGAUUUUGGUCUCUUAUUAAAAAAAAUGACAAUUUGCCCAUUUCGUUCCAAAAAUUGCUGAGAAGACACUACGUGUCCCAAAACAUGGGUCAUAAUCGCAACUUUUUGAGAAGAUAAGGGGUCAAAAUAUCAGAUUUUUCUUAUGUUAAGGGGUCAAAAGAACAUAUUUCUCUAAACAUGGGUCACGUUUGCCAUUUUAGCCUUAACGGGUGAAAAAUUCAAUUUAGCCUUUUUAUUAUUAAAAAAACCACGAUAAAUUCUUCUUUCGUUUGGAAUUUUUCGUAAGAAAUAACAAUUCUUUUUUUUUUUAAGUCGAAACAAAAGCAUUCUUAAUAUAUGUUAUAGUUUAUUGUGCUAAACAGUAAUUAAUUAGUUGACAAUAUAAUCACUAAAUGAAUUGUAAUGGAUUGAUCCAUUUUGUUAAGCCCAUGAGAAACCGAUGCUUAUGCAAUGGGUUGAUCCAUUUAGUUAAACCCACGGGAACAACUGCUUAACUAUUUAAAUGAGAGACAAUACUAAAUAAUAAGAUAAAAACCCUAAUUAUAAACCUAAACUUCUAUUAGGUAGUCACUCCUCUCAUGCAUUUCUCUCCUUAAACCGAUAUCUUUGAUAUAAAGGUAUGUCGUUAAAUUCAUCUUUGUUUUUGUUUUUAGAUAUGUUAUCACUUGUAUCCAUUUUCAAUGGCUAACUAUUAAAAUUCCUGCAAUUGGUAUGAGAGUUGUGUGAAACAUGUUAUAGUUAUUGUAUUCUUUGACAGAUGAUUUUCAUUGUGGCGUUUAUCGAUCAUUUAGUUGUGUUGCAAAUUGCGACGACUUCUCAAAAUAAAUGGUAGAUUCAUCAAGUUUCUCAUUGAUGGAAUGAUAUCUGCGAUUUGAGAUUUUGAAAUGAAACUUUCGAUAAAACCCCUUUUAUUAUUGGGUUUUGCUAAUCAUUGCUCUAUUAAUGUAUUGGUUUCAACAACAUUUUGACUUUUAAUCUUGAGAGUUUUGGUUGCUCGUUUACUGUAUUUUGUUUAAUUUUGCAACCUCCAUUUUGUUUUUGUUUGAAGGCAUGACUUGGCCUCUAUUUUUUUGGAAAUUGAUUAAAAGAGGUUUAUCGCCUCUUAGUUAUUAUAUUAUACCAAAGGAUUAGAUGCAUCAAAACUGAUCUCUAGACCUAGCUUAAUCAUGCUUGAAUAUUGAAUUCAAUAUAUAUGGCUACUGUGAAUUGUGAAACAUAUAUUCCUUAAUUUUAUUAGAUUAGAUAAAAAAUUAAUCUGGAUCGAAAAAAAUAGUAAGGUUCCUCUUAGAUAUCAAUUUGGGCAUUCAACCUGUUUUUUUUUUUUUUUUUUUUUUUUGUCUCCGUUGUAUGACAACAAGAGCACUUGUUGUACAUUUUUUAUUUAUUUAGUAUUUUACACUCCUGCACUUGUUAUCUUUUGAUUGACUUUGGCAUAUGAUUUCAGUAUUAUCGAACCACAUUGAUAAUAUUGUUGCAUUGCUGUUGGAAAAAUCGAGAUCAAUCUUGAAUAUUUUGAGUUUUGCUAAUCUGAGAUUGAUCUAUAAUUAAAUUAAAAGUUAUAUAUAUAUAUAUAUAUUUUUUUGAAGAAGUUAUAUAUAUACUCAGAUUUUAUGCCAAAGAAUGUGGCGAAUUUCCUUGCUCUAUUUGUGACACUUUGGUAUUUUUUAAUGUGUCAUUAGGGAAUUUAAUUUUAUUCCAUAAUCAACCAAUUUAAUAAUACUUUAUUUAUCCCCGUGAGCUUAGCUCAGUUGGUAGGGAUAUUGCAUAUUAUAUGCAGGGGCCCUGGACACCCCACUUCUCCACAAUUAAAUUGUGUGAGCUUUAGCCUCUAGGCUACUUGACAAAAAAAACAAAAAAAAAACUUUAUUUAUUCCUCAAAAAUAAUACUUUAUUUAUUGAAUAAAAUCACGAUUUCAUAUACGCCCAGAAUUUUGUUGAUUCUAAAAUUAUAUUCUUGAUUUUUGGGAUUUCAUUUCUUUUAUGGAAUCUUUAUAUAUUUGGUGAUAUUUGAUUUGAUAUUUGUAUGUUAUUUUAUCAAUAUAUUCUCAAGAUGUGAGUUUAAAAUAUUUUUUAUAAAAUUUAUUUUGUAGCAGUAACGCUAACACAAUUUUAAGUGGCACGGUUAUGAAAUAUAUUUAGACUCAAUUUUAUUGAUUCAAACACUAAAUAUCAUAUGUUUGAAUUCAUAAUGAUUAUUUUAUGAAGUAUGUAAAUAUUUUGCUGUUGAUUAAAUAUGGGAAGCGUAUGCUAUUUUUUAUUAGUUUUAUUUAUUUAUUUGAGCCUAAAAUAUUCUCUAUCAAAAUCUCUUUUAAAGAAAAAACACGAAUCAUUAUUACUAUUAUUAUUAUUAUUAAAGUGUUAUAAAUUUGAAUUAUUUUAGGUUCAGUUUCAUUAUUUGUGACACCAAAUAUCGUGUUUAUCAAUUUAUAAGUAUUUGUGUAAAUUUCAUGUUGUUUUGUUGGUAUUUAGAUUGCUCACUUACUAAAAUUAAAAUUGUCGAAGAUAAUUGUUUUGAGCGCACAACCACACUGUGCUCUCCCAUUUGCAAUUUGCGGACGACACGUUUUUGUUAGGUGUUAAAAGUUGGACGAAUGUUCGUGCUUUGAGGGUAAUAUUGGUUCUUUUUGAGAAUAUGUUUGGUUUGAAGGUGAACUAUCAUAAGAGUUUGUUGGUGGGUGUUAAUAUUGCUGACUCUUGGUUACAAGAAGCUGCUUCUAUUUUGUAUUGGUAAAAUUCCUUUUUUGUAUCUGGGGCUGCCCAUUGGUGGUGAUGCUAGACGUUUGAAUUUUUGGAGUCCGGUUUUAGAGCGCAUAAAAUCUAGAUUGUCGGACUGGAAAAGUAGAAACUUGUCUUAUGGUGGUCGAUUGAUUCUCCUUAAGUCUGUCCUGUCUUCACUGCCUGUCUACACCCUUUCUUUUUUCAGAGCUCCCGCAGGUAUAAUCUCUUCCAUUGAAUCUAUUUUAAUUAAAAUAUUUUGGGGUGGGGGUGAGGAUCAUAGAAAAAUUGCUUGGGUAGAUUGGAACUCUGUUUGUCUGAAUAAGGGGGUUGGUGGUUUGGGGGUAAGGAGUCUACAAGAAUUUAAUAUUGCUCUUCUGGGUAAAUGGUGUUGGAGGUGUUUAGUGGAUAGGGAGGGCUUAUGGUAUAAGGUGUUGUAUUCUCGUUAUGGGGAACAUAGAGGGCGAUUAAGGGAAGGUGGAGUGACGGGGUCAGCUUGGUGGAGGGAGAUAGUAAAAAUUCAAAAUGGUAUAGGUGUGGAGGGUGGGAGUUGGUUUGAAGAAAGUAUAACAAAACGUUUAGGUAAUGGCUUAAAUAUUUUCUUUUGGACGGAUUGUUGGGUGGGGACGGAACCUUUUAUGGAGAGAUUUAGGAGACUUUUUGACUUAUCGAUUCAUAAGGAUUUGUCAGUGGGAGAGAUGUUUGCUUUAGGUUGGGAAGAACAUGGGGAGGCUUGGAGGUGGAGACGUCGUCUGUUUGCUUGGGAGGAGGAGUUGGUAGUGGAGAUUAGGAACUUGAUUACUAACGUUAUUUUGCAGGAUACUCAAUCAGAUGUUUGGCUUUGGCGACCUAAUAUUGGUGAUGGGUACACUGUUCGUGGUGUGUAUCAAAUGCUCAUGAGGUAAGAGAUACACAAUCAUGAUAUCGUUUCGGAUGCUCCUUGGCAUAAGAAUGUUCCUUUGAAAGUUUCUAUUUGUGCAUGGCGUCUUUUACGCAAUAGAUGGCCAACAAAGGAUAAUUUGGUGCGGCGAGGCGUUUUAUCUCAUGAUUCACAAUUGUGUGUUACAGGAUGUGGUCAAAAUGAAACCGUAGAUCACUUAAUUAUUCAUUGUCCUAUUUUUGGUGAUCUUUGGCAACAAAUUAAAUCUUGGAUUGGUGUGUUUUCCGUAGAUCCUUCUCAGGUUCUGGAUCAUUAUUAUCAAUUUGUUUUCUCUUCGGGUAGCUAUGGUCCAAGAAGGUCGUUUCUUCAUUUGGUUUGGCUUUGUGGUAUUUGGGUUCUUUGGCAUGAAAGAAAUCAGAGACUAUUUGUCAAUACAACAAAAACAACUACACAAUUACUUGAGAAGGUUAAGAUUAUAUCUCUUAAAUGGUUGAAAGCAAAAAAUGUGUGCUUUCCUUAUGGUUAUCAUAUGUGGUGGCAGCGUCCCCUUGACUGUUUGGGGAUUGGCUGAUGUAAUUUUUCCUUCUGCUCGUUGUUUUUGUGGUUUGGUUGGAACUUUUUGUAAUCUUGCUUCGAUUCCUUUGGCACUUCUUGUGCUAGGGAUCAAAACUUUGUGUUAAUAUAUCUCAUUUUGGUUUGUUAAAAAAAAAUAAAAAUAAAUUGUUUUGAGCAUCGUAAGGCAAUUAAAAUUAUAGCAUCCAUAUAAUCGAGUAUUAAUGUUUUUUUUUUUUUUUGAAGAAAUAAUCGAGUAUUAAUGUUAGAAACAUUCUUUCUAGUACUAUCUCCAACACUCUUUCUUCUAUUGGAUGAAACUCUAUUUUUCAAGUGAGGUACCCAUUUAAAUUUUACUUAAUAAGAGAAUGAGUGUUAGAGAGAGAGUUAAAAAGAGACUGUUCAUACAUUUUUUUUUUUUUUUUUUAUCUAUUACAAUUGUUUGUUUUCGAUUUGUGAACCAAGGUGAAAUCGAUGACAUUGUAAAUAUUCAAAAUGUCGUCAAAGCUUAAUGACUCUAAUACAAAGAUGAUUGUCUCAUUACAAUGUUAGUGUAUUUUAAUUAUAUUUUUAAAACAUUUGUGACUUAUUAUGUGAUUGCAAAUAUGGAGAAUUUUUGUAGCAUUUUAUUCUCUUGUUGUUAUUAUAAACAUGCAAUCACAAUAGAUUUUUUUUUUUUUAAAAUUGGUGUUGUUUAAUGUGAAAUCGUAUAUAAGCUUAAAUCUGUGAUUUUUUUUAUGAUUCUCAUCCAGAAAACUUGAUUGAAUUUGUGACUCUGUUAUAGUACUACAGAAAAUUAUGGACUAUUGAAGACUAUUUGAAUUCUUGUAGAAAUAUAAUAUGCAGUUCAAUGGUUUGACUUCAGUUUUGAACCCCCAGUCCAUUGUUGACUCGAUCAACGCUGACGUGGCACCCUAAGUGAGAUGCCACGUGUCAAUUUUGUUUUGCCUUGGGGGUUCAAAAGUGCCAAAGAUUCAAAAUAUAGGGGCCUGUUUUGUAUUUAAAUUAGUUAGGGCUUCAUAACCGCAACUUUUGGAAAGAUAAGGAUCCAAAAGUGCAAUUAAGCCUAUAUAGGCUCUGUUUGGUAAAAAUAGCGGAUAGCUGAUAAGCUAACUGAAGUGUUUGGUAAAAAUAGCGGUUCAACUAACUGAUAAUUGUAAAUGACAUAAAGGGUAUUCUUAAUUCAUGAUAAAAAUUAUAUCAUUAAUUUAAGUAUUUGUAAUUUUGUAAACUAAUUUUUCUUUAAAAAAAAUACUUUAAAUUUAUUAAUUUAAUAUAUCCUAUGUAUUAUAAAUUAAAUUAAUUUUUAUUCACUAAAAUUUUAUCUUAUAUUUAUUAUCAUUUAAGUGUUUCCACUUUAUAAAGAAAAUAACAUUACGAAGAUAUAUAUUUUUUCAAAAAAAAAAAAAAAAAAGGCCAGCUGAUAUAUAUACAAAAAUUGGAAUAAAGGGAUAGUAGUCUUUAUUACGUAGCUUAUUAUAAAAAUUAUAAUGGAUAAAAAUAAAAUUUAAAUGAAAUAAUAAGGGUAAAAUUGNAAAAUUAUAAUGGAUAAAAAUAAAAUUUAAAUGAAAUAAUAAGGGUAAAAUUGGAAGAAAACGUGAGAAACUAUAAGCUAUAAGCUCAAACGCUACUUGGAAUAGCUUCUGAAAAAUAGCUUAUAAGCUCGUGAAAUAAGCUAUAAGCUCAUGGUGAAAAAAUGUUACCAAACAGAGCUAAAAAUUUUGUCAAACGAGCUUAUAAGCUAUAAGCUAAAAGCUCUUUUUUGAGUUUCCCAAACAGACCCAUAUAAUAAAUCUACAUAUUCAUCUUCCUUCCUUCUUCACAACAGUGGAGACACGACAUUUAGGCCCAACUUGAGUGGUGUGAGCCAACCACUAAUGAAGAGAGCGUUUUACGGGCUUUCGUUGACAAGAUUUAGGCCAACUCCAGUGGUAUGAGCCAAUAGUCGAUGAUGAGAGCGGUUUAUGGGUCCUCAAUGACGGGAUUGGGUAAAGAAGUGAAAGCAGGGUUUCGAGUUUGUUGCUGUGCUGUUUUUGGUUGGCGAUGAUUGUGGCAGUUAUAUGUUUGAUUUUCUGCGAGUAUGCAUGUGGGCAAGAAAGCUUUGAUCUCGGUGGUACUCAAUAGGGUUGAGAUUAUCAUUGUGUCUCUUACUAAGGCUUUGUUUACUUGGAAUCAUAUUUCAAAGAAGAAAAAAAGAGUUCGUUUAAAGAUGCUUAGAUAGAUUCACUUGGGGUUCUACAAGCACUGGGAAACACGUAGCAUAUUCUUACAAGAUAUUAUAUAGCAAAACCUAAAAUGACUCUCAUAACUUAGAAAAUAAAGGCCCAAUAGCAUAUGCAUAAUCUUAUUAUCUUACGCCUCCUAACAUGAAACUUCUAGAGUUUUUCAAACAAAAAAUAUAUUCAUUACUAUAAAACGAAAACAACUAAUAUUCUAAUACUCACCCCUCAAGAAAUAUAUUCAAGUAAGCUUUAAACCUGCUACAAGACUAACCCAGAAAAUAACUAAACCAAUUAAUAUCAUAGCCAAUGGAGAGGAGUAACCAAAGAAGCUGAAGCGAUGACACUGUAUCAAAACAAAUUCAAAUCAAACAAAAGAGCCUAUAGAAGGAGAACCAACUAAAUUGUUCAAAUAUGUCUUUAAUGAUAACUCUUCACAAACAAAUUAUGAGCAUUAUCUCCACUCAUCACAUUAUCCAAAACAAACACAAUAUUAUGAUGCUUCAUAUUCAAAUUGUGAGCAUUUGGAACCAACCCAACAAAUUGUGAGAAUUACCUUGACUCACCAAAAAAAACAAAUUCUAAGCAUUAUCUUGCCUCACCAAACAAAUUGUGAGUACUUUCAUCAAAUAAACAAAUAAACGAACAAACAAAUUGUGAGCAUUAUCUAGACUCGCCAAACAAAGUCAUAUCAAGAGACGUUAUGAUAAUCCAAACCCUUACAAGCACCACCAUGAUCACAUUUUUAUUGCCCAUAUGCCCCAUAAAAUACUCCUAAAAAAAUAAUACAGAUAAUGAUUCCGCCAUCAUCACCAACCAAAAACCACACAACACACCCCUCGGAACACUAAACCUUACUUUCACUUAUUUACCUAAUCUUGUCAUCGACAGCCCAUGUACUGCUCUCCUCAUCAACUGUUGGCUCACACCACUCAAGUUCUGCAUAGAUCUAGUCUCCAGCGGCUCCUAAACCGCUCUCCACUCAAGUUGUUGGCUCGCUUCACUUGAUUUGGGCCUAUAUCUUGUUUGUCCACCGUUGUGAAGAGUGGAGGAAGAUGGAUACGUAGAUUCUACUCUCGGGAUGAUACCAAGCAUUCUACUACCCAGCUCCCCAUAUUUCAUUGGGUCGCCGUCAAUCUAUCGAAUAAAACGCGUUGUCAGCUUUUUAGGUUUUGGUUUGGGUCGAGGACCAGACACGACUAUUCUUUUACGCACUUUGCCUAAUGGAAAAUAGUCGUGUCUGGUCCUCGAACUAAACCAAAACCCAAAUAGCCGACAACUACAAAUCAUUCUAUGCAUACACUGGCGGCGAACCCAUGAAAUUUGGCAAGCUCGAUAAACGCUUGGUAUCAUCUCAAGAGUAUAUCAUAAAUCUAUGUAUUCAUCUUCCUCCCUUCUUCACAACGGUGGCGACACGAGAUCUUGGCCCAACUUGAAGAGCGGUUUAUGGGUCGUCAAUGACGAGAUCAGGUAAAGUAGUGAAAAAAAGUUUGUUGUUGUGCGGUUUUUGGUUGGUGAUGAUAGUGGCAGUUAUGUGUUUAAUUUUCAGCGAGUAUGCAUAUGGGCAAGACUUUGAUUUCGGUGGUACUUGUUAGGCUUGAGAUUAGCACUGUGUCUCUUACUAAGCUUUGUUUACUUGGAAUCGUGUUUGAAAGAAAAAGGUUUGUUAAAUAAUGCAAAAAAAUGUAACAUCAACUUAGUUCCUUGAUAAUUUCAUUAUUGGUACUCCUUAAAAAAAAAUGCAUGAUUGUACCGUGACUGCAUGAACUUAGGAGUUGAACUAAAUAUUGAAUCCACGGAAAGACGACGAUUCCUUUCAUUAAUUAAAAUUUGAAACUUCUAAUCACAUUAUAAGUGAUUAUGAUGAUGGCCAUUGAUCAACUUCUUCGGGGAGAGGGAGAAAACAAUUGAAACAUCUUCUUUUUUCGGAUUACCUUCAAUUAUUGAUAGUGUUUUUUCUUCCAAAUCGAUAACAGCGGUACAUAGCGUGUGAAGCAAUGGACCUAAGAAUAAGGAAGAAGAAAACUGUGAUAAUCAAAAGAAAAUUCAAAAGAAGGGGUUUAUAUGUAUCCAAAUUACCUGUCAUAUAGAUGGGAUUUUUUUUGUCAUCCGCGUCUCCUAGAAUUGACAGAAAAUCCUCUUUUGUUGUUUUUGUUAGGACAUUUGCCCUUUUCUGCCUGCUGAUUGAACUCUCAUCUUGUGCCUUCAAUUUAACAUCCAAUGACUUUAGUGAUAGAAACUUGUAAAUAGCUUUUGAAUACAACUUAUGAUAUGUUUAUAAUUUGUUUUCCGCUUUUUUUCAAUAUGUUUAUUAAAAUAGUUAAUGAACAAAGUCCGUAUACCGUCAAUCUGUGAUUGUCAGAUCAUAAUUAAAGUUCGACUUUAAUCAUAACCACCUCUAAGGUCAUGCAUAUGAAGGCUGCAAUUUGAUCUGACAAUAUAAAAUGCUGACAGUGUAAAACCUAAAACAUUUGACACUGAAAGUGCAUGAUGAUUAAAUUCAAAUCUUAUCUUAUACGAGUAAUACAAUUAAAACUGAUCUUUACAAGACUUGUAUCUGUGACUUAAAUGCACCCCCAAAUAUAAAGUGGAUUGAAGAAAAUGGCUAGGUAUCUGUCAGUAAUUAUAUGCAGUGUUAAUUCAAUAUAUGAACGAGGGUGCGUGUGUGUGUGUGUGUGGGGGAUAAAACAAGACUUGUAUUUUCUGAAAAACUUACCUGAUUAAUAUGUAGGUGACGGUACAUGUUUGCAUGGAAGAAAGGCGUUUCUCCAACCUCGUGAAUUGAAAUUCGCUUUUUGGAUGCAGUUUCAACAUUAACAAUCCUACGAGUACUUAUUUCAAUUAGGUUAUAAGAAUGCCCCACUGAAAUUUCUGAUGAACGAAUCCUCUGUUAAAACAAGAGCAUAACAUAUUAUAAACAUUAAAUUCAUAAGAGUUCAUUAAAAUUUAAAAAAAUGCAAAGGCUCUAAAAUCAAACAUUUAUAGCAUCGUCAAUGCCAGUGGCUUCAAGAAUGCCUCGCGAAAUGAAGUUGCGCCCAAUCCCACCAGCUACAAUUUCAUCUUCAGCUGGUGGUACUGAAUUUAGAGUGAAUGCCUAAUGAUCAUAAAGCAAAUUUUGUUCUUAAUACUUACUUUAAUAUUAAGAGAUCAUUUGAAAUAAUAGGGAAUUUUUACCAAUCCAUUGCUAUUAAAUGCAAAUGCAGAGCUUGGAAGCUCCCCAGCAUAUGUAUAAGCAACAAAGAAUAGCCCAUUUGGCAAUAUUCCUUUAAUUAAGUAGCUGCAUAACAUAAAGACCAAAAAAGGAAAGAAUACUUAUAAAGCAAUUUUAUUUGAAUUCGAGAACAAAAUAUGAAUAUGAAUACAAACGCUUACGUGUGACCAACAAGAACAACAUUUGCAUCCUCAUUGUGUGCUGCAAUUGCCAUAGAUUCAUCAACAACAAGAACUGUAGAACACUCAUUUGAGGAAUCAUCUUCUAAACUUUUCAAUCCUUCUUUCGGAACAAAUGCAAGAAUUUCCUUCUUGAAAUUAAUAAGUAAAAUCUGCUCACAAAAAAAAAAAAAAAAAAAAAAAAAGAUGUUACUAUUAAUUAUACAUACAUGCAAUAACAUUGGUGUAUGUUUCUUUCUUUCUAGUAGAGGAAAUUUACAUCAAGAAGAGGCACACCACUUCCAGCUGCAGUCCCCAAGAGUUCAUCCCAAUACAUAGGGAAUUUGGUUUGAUUAUUAUGAAAAAGUGCUUUGAGAAGUGAUUCUGAUUGAGGAGGAGUUUGAGUUUGAGCAAAGGGUCUAAGCUGAUUUUGAAGUAUGGUGUCAUCAGCCACUCUGUUUUUUAUCCUUUGGGAGAAUCUUUGGCCUAUUAAGAAACCCAUUUCGUAUGAAUCUUUGCAUGGUCCAACUUCAAACAUCUCAAGUUUUUCACGUUCCAUUCCAAAGCUCUGUGGCCAAGUUCUACAAUGAACACAAAUUAGAUUAUUGUCUUAUCCUCUUAAAGUGUUUAGCUACUUACUACUGCUCAUGAAUAAAUGUCUGAGUUAGCAUAUUAUCCUCAUUGUUUAUGGCUUGGGCCUCAUUUUUAACUUUUAAGAGAAAUUUACUUGUUAUCCCCUCACUUAUCAAGUUACACCCCACACCCUCAAAUGUUGUUUAUUUCAGUUUUGCUCUCUUUAAUUACUUUAAUUUUUUUACUGACUAGCCAAAACUUUCUAAACACUAACCGAAGUUUCCGAAACUAAAAUUACAGAUAUAUUAUAAUGCCCGUAAUUUCAAAAAGAAAAACAUAAGAUGUCUUUGAAACACACCUUAGUGAUGUCUUGAAUCAACUAAAUAUCUGAAUUUCAAGUAGGAAAGAUGUCUUUGAAAUACUCAAUUAGGAUCCUGCGGAUAUCUUCCUUUGUUUCCAUCGUAUUACUAAGAUUAUCUUAGUAAUGAACACACAAAUAAUCUUGUACACGUAAAAAUUAAAUCCAAAACAAUUAAAUAAAUAAAAGGUUAGUAUUUUUUUAUAUUUUUAUCUUAGAAAAAAUUCUAUAAGAAAUUUUUUCAACCGUAUACUUUUCUAGCGCGUCAUAUUUUUUCCAUAAAUAUCCUUGAGCAUUUUGGAUUAUAUAAUUCAAAAAUAAUUUUCUCACUAUUUUUAGGUGAAAAAAUGAGAUAAAAUCCGAAUACCCCAUAUAGAAGUUUGUAAUGGGGAUAGUCAAUUAAAGAACUAUAUUAAUCAUCGUAACCUUCAUUCUCUUGGUUAGGUCAUUGUUAGUUGUUUCUGCCUGUCCUAGUCGAAAAUCCGGUUAUUAUAAUAUUUGAUCAAAUUGCUUCAGAACUUGUCCAGAAAAUCAUAAACGAAACAAAAAACAAAACUCUCGUAUAAUUGACUUUUUAUUGGACUCCGCCCUCGAAAUCCUAAAUUUUGCCGUUUAGACCUAUUUUAAAUUUUUAUUUUAUUUUUUCACAUUCUCAGAAAAUCCAAAAAAAAAAUUGCAUUAGCUUAAUUUGAUUUUUAGAAAUUUUUUGUGGUAUUUUUAUAUUUUAUUUGGCAAGUUUUAUCAUUUUAUAAUUUGUUUUUUAAUUGUUUUUAAAAGCAAAAUUCACAACUCGCAAUUUUAUACUCCAUACUUUUUUCUCUUUUAAUAUACGAUAUGUUUGGGUUAUUUCAAUCGAAAGAUAUUCUGAUUGUUGAUUAUAUAUAAAUAUAUUUUGUAUAAUAUAAUAUAAAACUUAUUUUUUAUUUAAAUUAUAUAAUUCAAAUGACCAACGAUAUUUCAAAGAUAAGGUAUAAGAAGUGUGAGAAAGUCAUUGUGCAAGAAAAGUAAUAGCCAAAAAUUCAAAAUCAAAUUUUUUUAUAAAAAAAGUUGGGAUCUGCCCUCUUUAGUUUUAGGGCUAUCUAACAAUGGGAACAUUUAGACCCCAAACGUGCGAGUAGAGCCAUGUCUAAUUUCGAAGCUCUUUUAAACAACAACGAAAAAACCGGACAAUGCAUUCAAAAAUAAAUGGGAUAAUGUUGAUCAAUAAGAUGCUACAUUUAGUGCAAGUGAAUAGUGAACUCGCACAGAAAGAUUGCGUGAAUCCAAAUCCAGGAACUGAGUCUUCUGGGUGAUGGAGGAAAGUGCAGAUUAUCUUGCUGGCAAUAGAAUGCAUCCAAUUUAAAUGGUAGGUAGGGAUGCCAUGAUUCAGAUUCAGACAAGAACACCUCAUAUGCACUGCCUCUGUCCAUUACCCCCACUCAGUCAUCGCUCUUGGGAAGGAAAUACACUAUAUAUUUAAACCUUUCUUUUUAUGGCAUGAUUCUUUCUUGAAUAUUGAUUAAUCCAAAUCAAACAAUUGUUAAUUAUGACCCAAGGUUGAGCUGAGUGACAUAAGCGUUAUAUUUGGGGUAUGAACAUAUGCCACCAUUUUGAUUACAUUAUACUAGUUUAUUUAUACUUCCCCAUUUAAGAAUUUUAUCUUUUCCAACAAAUAUGAUUUUUUUUUCAUAUGAGCUUUAAAAAAAGUUAGCAAUUAAUUAUAACUCAAAUAUUCUCACGUUUUCUUCAGUUAGAUAUUUACAAGAAGUUAGUACUUUAAGUUUUUUUUUAUUCAAUAAAUUGAUCAUUUAUGUCAUUAAUUUUUUUUCACCAUUAUCAUCUAUUCAUAAAACUCGGUUAAAAAUGCUUGUAAACUAUCAAUGCUAACGGCUCUUAGAAUUAUGAUUUCACACUUAGUUUGAAGGUCAAUUACUUUAUUUAUAAUGUUCAUGGAACAUUUAUCUGUAAAAUUAAGUUUGAAUUGGAAAACAAAAAGAAAAUAUAUUAAAGUACUAAUAAGUAAUUAUGUCUAAUGUCAUAAACAUUCUUUGGACCUUCCACCUAAAUGUAACUGACGUAUGCAUUUUUUUAUGAAGUUGGAUGAAAAAGUAUAACAAUGUAAAUAUUUUAUGACUUAAAGUACUAAUUUGUUGAAGAAAAAAAUUGAAGGACUAAUUUAUUAUAAACAACUAACACUUGAAGUAUCGCAGGAGAAAUUUGAUCUAUAACUAAUUGGUAACUUAUUUUGAGAGGAUUUAAUUUCUAGUGGAUGUAAAAAAAGAUGUGAGCCAAGUUCAAAUAACGGAAAAAUGAUACGAAUCUCUUAAAAUGAUUCAUUAGAGUGUUGUUUGUCUAGUUUAUAAAUGACAUAGGAAAAAAGAAAUGAUGUUUCAACAUCCAUUUUGUGACAGUUUUCACUCUCAUACUCACAUUAAUUUUUACUUUAUCUAUCUAUUGUUUUAGUUUUCGUGCAAAUACCUACCUAUCUUUUAUUUAUAAAUUAUGAUUGUCCAAUAAAUUAUCAACCAAACGGUUGUUCAAACACUCCUCUAGAAAAAAGAGAAACACAAUCACAAAAUAUGAACAAGAAUGAAAACUCUAAAACCAGAGUAAAAAAUCACAAUUGUGUCUAAUGACAGCCAAAAAAAUAUUAUUAUAUGCAAAUUGUUACUACCUCCGUUCCUUUUUAACUGUCACUUUUUAAUAUUUUACACAAAUCAAGACACUCAAUAAAUAUUACUUUUUCUUGUACAAUAAUUUAUAUUUUUACUAUAAUAGUCUUAGUCAUUUAAUAUUUUAUUUCAUAUAUUUCUCUUUCUGCAAUAAAUAACUAAAAGUAAUGUUGGUAAAAGAACAUUUAUUGUUGCAUUGAACUUUAAAAGUGUCAGUUAAAUACGAACAAAAAAUGUCCGAUACUUAAAAUGGAAUGGAGGGUGUACAAAACAUAGAUUACUCUCAAAUAGCCGGUGACCCUAAUACACCAUCACCUCCAAAACAAAUAAAUACAUCUCACAGCACUCUAAAAACAAGAGCAAAAGAAAAAAAAAAAUCAGAUACGAACUUAAAGUAUUUCUUAGUACUGUACUGUCUUGUAAAAUAGAAAUAUAGUUUAUAAUAUAGUCUCGUUCAACCAUUUUCUUUAGGAUUAUAAUCGACAUGUUACUUCCUCAACCUAUAUUUUUUCAACCAACAUCGACAAAUAUUUGGACUCACAAAAACUAGUUUGUUUUCUUUUAUUUUUCUAAAAUAAAACAAAUCAUUCUAUAUUUUGAGAUAUUUUUUUCUUAUCUCCCACUGUUAAAUCUACAAAUGGAAAAAUCAUAAAAUUAAUCGGCGCAAAAAUUGACUAAUCUUAUUUUGAUUGAAUUGAAAUAACACAUACAAUACGAAUUUGCAUUUUACAAGGGCAAAAGCAUAAAAUAUUGGAAACUGCAAUGGUGGUGCUGUGGGAGACAUCGAUUCAAGUCUAGGAACUUGUUGCAGCUGAGAAAAGACGAGGCCCGAGAAUACAGCAGAAGAUGGACUCGACCUGCUCCUCAUGAUCUUGUCUUGUGUCUCUCAAGUGCGAUCUAUCUUGCUUACUUUGAACAUCAAUAAAUAAAUACUUUAUUAGAAAAAGAAAUGGUAUAUCAUAUUCAAACCUUAACCUAACUCUAAAUGGAAAACUGUCAAGUAUCAUGUGCGAACCUGUUGGAAUCCAUUUUGCCGUACCAAAGAAACCCCACGACCAUUGUUAAUUACUCACUCUUAAAAGCAAAUACAGUAUAGUCCAAGAUCUUACACAAGUCAGUCAUAACAAGAAGAAAGUUUUAAUUAAUUAUAUUUCCUUAAAGGGUAAGAACGUGCGGGUGCUUUUAGUUUAGAUAAAUCUCAUGUGUAUGCAAAUAUGAAAAUAUUAAGGAAAAAGAGAUUAAAGAAAGAGAUCAGAAGCAAAAUGAAAGAGAUAUAUAAUAGGAAGAAAGAAAGGGAGCUCCCUUCAGUCCAAAUACAGGAAGCUUAAGACUCAAUUUGUCUCCCGCAUCAUUCACUCAUUUGCAGAGUAUACUUGAGUAUAUUUUACUCAGCAUUUGGAUGAAUGAGUCAGCAGCUAAUUAAAUCUUACAGCAACCCAUGAGUGGACUAAAGAAAGCUCUCUCUCAUUUACCAUUCGCCAUGCAUCCUUCCAUGAUUCUAUCAGCUAGAUCUGUGUGAUAUAUACAUAUUCAAUAAGCAAGGUUAGUUAGUACAAGUAAUGAAAGUAAUUAUAUGAAGAAACUAACACAGGUCGUAUCAUAUGGUAUAAUAUAUGUAAGGAGUGUCACUGUAUCAAUGAGCAAGGAGCUCUGAUAAUGACACUGAACAUGAAGGAAACCAUUCCCCCAUGGCUUUUUAUAACCUCAAUGGAAAAGGAAUGGACAAAGAUAUGGUUAAGUUGAGUAUCAUUUAACUUCAUUUAUCUACCAUUCAUUUACUAUUGUUUAUAAUUUAUGAAAUAGAUAAAUACAAUUAGAAAAUCAGUGAGACCCAUAAAUGUGUUCACUUAUUAAAAUGAUAUUUGUAGAACCAUUUUUUAACAAUUUUUUAACAACUUUCUCUUUUAUACUCACAUUAUUCUUUUAUUAUCUCUCUUCCUUUUUCUCUCUCUAUUAUUUUUAACCAAUGAAAAGAGAAAAAAAAUUAUCACCAAAAAUUAUAUAAAAUGGGUGUUCAAAUAUCACUCCUCUAUUAUUUGUGCUCACCCUUUCAUAAAUAGGUGGUUGGUAAAUGAAAUAAACCUGAGCUUGGUAAAAAAUAUACUAUUUUAUAUACCCUUAAGUAUUUAUGAAAAUACGUGUUUUUAAUUAUUAAAAAUUAAAAUAUUUUACUUCUUUAAAGAAUAAUUAUUUAUUUUAAAAUAUUUAAAAAAUGUCUAACGAGCAUUUGUUAACUAGAUCUUUAAUUAUAAAACAAUAACACAUUAAAAAAAGAAAUUACGAAAUAUUGAAAAAUAUAGCCAAUAACGUAUAACUACUAUAUCAUGCAAUCAUAACGAGGAAGAUGAUAAAAGAAAGAAAGAAGAAGAAGAUAAAAGAGUAAAACUUCUACGAAAUAUAAAAGUACUUUUGUGGCAACUUUUUUUUAGUUUUUUUAUUUUACAAAAACAAUAGAAAGAAGAAGAAGAUAAAAGAGUAAAACUUCUACGAAAUAUAAAAGUACUUUUGUGGCAACUUUUUUUUAGUUUUUUUAUUUUACAAAAACAAUAGAAAGAAGAAGAAGAUAAAAGAAUAAGAACACAAUAAGAUUAUGAGAAUGAGUUGUAAAGAAAUGUUUAUGCAAAAUUCAUUUCUCACCCAAUAGAGAAAUUAAGUAUAUCGCCUAAAUUGCCUUCUAGAAUUAAUAAAUUUAUACAGUAUACAUUGACCAUGUUUUUUUACUAUUGUAUGAAGACAAAUAGUGACAUGUAUAUAAUUAAAAUAUCGUAAAAAUAUCAUUAUUCACCUUUAAAUACACUAAAUAUUAGCAAGAAAAAUACCAAUGUUCAAUGUCAUUUGAAUGAUAUUCUAUUGAAAAGUAUUAUUUGAACAACCAUUUAAUUGAUAACUGAUGAAAUAAUCAUAAUUUAUAAAGAAAAAAAUGAAUAUUUACACAAAAACUAAAGUAACAGAGAGAUAAAGUAAAAUAUAAAUAUAAAAGAAAAAAAAUCAUAAAAAUUAUCUUAAAAUAAACGUUCAAAUGUCAUUUCUCUAUCUCAUUAUGUCAUUAAACUGUGCCCGAAUUGGUGUCUUGUCUAUGGAAAAAAAGCUGCCUACCAAAUGAGGGAUAGACAUAGGUCUUUUCUUGGCACUCUUCUUUUGCCCUUGCCCAUUCUUAUUAGGCUUUCAUAUCAAUGUGUCCGAUCACAACUUUUUCUCAAUCACCGGUGACCUGUCCAUCGAUCCAUCCCAUCUUCUUUCUCAAACAGCUACUGGCUUUAAUUGAAUUGAAUUGGAAAUUUGAGUGAAUACACUGUUCCACUUCCAUUGUGAAGACGAGAGGAAUCACCAAAGUUACCUCUUACCACUUCCAUCGGUAUUUAAACCUUUUUUAAAAAGCCUAUCCACUUCCACUGUUGGUGUUUAAACCUUUUUUAGCGAUACUAAUUUCUUGCUUAGAAGUAGAGGAAUGACCUUUACAAAAAAAGAGUCAACAAGAUGAAAUUAAGAAUAAAAACAUAAGACAAAGAAGCUUGUAAAGACAAAACCUUGUUUUUAAGAAAAGAUUUCUGCACUUCUUUCAAUAUUUUAUUCGUAUUAACAGGGUAUCAAAUUUUAAUUAAAUGAUUAAGAGAUUCAAUCAUCUAUAAAACUUGUAUUGCACUAUAUUAGUAUAAUUUAACGAGAUUUAGAAAAGGUUAUAUAUAUAUAUAUAUAUAUAUAUAUAUUUUUUGGAUGACGCAAAAACGAUACUUAAAUUAAUAGAGAUCAAAUUUCAUUUGUUUGGUUCAAAUUAGAUUUAAACAUGGACAAAACAAUCCAAUUUAAUUAAUUUGGAAUGUAUGUUUGAGUUUAUCGGAUCAUUGAUUUGAUUUUUACUAUCUUAAAAAAAGAAUCUCAAUUUUACUAUAGUUUAAAAUCAUACAAAAUCCUAGGUAUUAGUCUUUUAAGUCCUCGUUGGAUAUAACUCAACUUCAUAAAAUAAAUAUAACUUUAAGGUUUUUUUUUUAUUUGUUACUAUCUUAAGUUAUUUGGGGUGGUUGUUAAUUUCUGGUUUUUGAUUUAAAAACAAUAUUGUUCUAACAAAAUAAUGUUGAAUUGAUUUUUUAAUUUUAAAAUAUUUUUCACUUAAAUCUCAAAUGCCAAAAAUAGUUUAAUAACUAUUGCUUUUGUUUUAACAUCCUCUUCAAUUUCAUAUGACCACCACCACUUUAGUCAUCCUUCUAACCGCAGCAAUGCAUUGCGAUCACCUCCGACUACGAAUCAACACUUUACUAUAUAUCAAUUUCCACCUUCGACAAUUAUCCCUUCUACAUUAUUAUUAAAAUUAUUACUAAAUAAAUUAUAAUAUUUAAAUAUAUUUUUUUUUAAAAAAUUCUAAUAGAAUUUUUAGUAACACACAUGUUAGUGUGAUUCACAUGUGAGAGAAACACACAUGAUUUUAAUAUAAUUCUCUCAAUAGUUGUUUGACAAUAGAUUACAUGAGUGGGAUUUCAUGUGGGUGUUGAUUUUUAGCUUAUGCAGUUGCUCCUUGGUGCACUGCUUGAACAAUACUUCCACUGAAUCAUUGAAUUAUGUAGUUCAAGAUUUUGCUUUCAGGUCAAUGGUGAAACACCAGCAUCAAAUGUAAGGAAUAAAAGUUUCAAAAACCAUGCUCUUAAUACAAUGGGGUAGCCUAUAUCUAAUUCCCAAACGUAACAUUUACGAGUGGCAUCGGGUCAAGGGCUAGAUGUGUGUCUUUCAACGAAAAUGGAACAUUUUGACUCACCGUGACGAGCUCCCCUGGCGUAUGCCACUCAAGAGACAAGGGUCAUUUUUCAGCUGUUCUCCCAUUGACGAAGCGGCAACCAUGGGAUGUGUGGGAGAUUCGGUGUGCGCUUGGAUUUUUUUUUGGUCUAAUAACAUUAGGCUAUGCGGGAUUUUCAUGCAUGCGAUUUUUGAAGACCAAAAAGAUACAAACAACGGAAAAACGAGCUAUUAAAGAUAUGAUUCUUGAAAGCAGAUGGACUGGCAACAGUAAAAUGCCUUUCGCAGUCGUGACAAGAACUCAGCCAGUUCUUAAGAGUAUUGCUUCGUAAAUCAUUUCACUUUGAUCUUAAUCUUUUGUUAGCGCAUAUAUUAAUACAAGAUUUGUUCCUUAUGCAAUGAGGAAACAUUCGUAUUUUGAUCAUAAAUGGAGGAAAGCGUUUGUAUUUUGAUCAUAAAUGAGGUGGCAUUUAAAUUAUAAAUAGUUAUUUUUGACCAUUAGAUUAAAGAGAAACAUUGAUCUUAUUAUGGUCAGCCUACACUAUAUCGUUCUUGUUUGUCUUCAACCUUCCUAACAUCUCUUUUCAUCACCACCCACCACCACAAGCAAACUCAACAGCUUCCUCUGACGAUGGAGCAACCGUUAUCGAAAUCUGACCAUUUGUUUCCAGCCGAAGAUCCACUUGCCAACGAUGGAUUUGAGUGGAUCGAAGUUAUGGAGGUUACCGAAAUAGUAGUCGGAGGUUAAGUUUCACCGAAAAGUUUUUCCAUAGGUCAAGAUUCAAGGAGAGCAAGUUCCUUGACAAUCCAAUUGCAAAUAUGUUGCAUAUUUCCCUUUGUAUCAUGUUGCGUAUAUACUGUGCCAUGGAAUUCACCACACAAAUCAAUGAUACAGUUUUAAAAUGUUUGAAGAAUUAAUUGAAAAUCAAAGUGGGAGAGAAUUUUUAAUUGAAAAUCAGUGUUUCAAGUUUCCCUUUUGUUUUUGUUUUGGAUUUUAUUAUUAGCUACGUAUGCCUUGAGGUUGCAGUUUGUGCCCAGCUUUGUUUUGGCCAAGUGAAAGAAGAUUUUUAAGGGUUGUGAACUUGUUGUUUUUUGUCUGGUUGUUGCUUGUGUAUUCUGUUCAAAAAAGAAAAAGUAGGAAAGUUGAAGACAAAGUGAAGAAUAUAUGGUGUACACAGACUAUUAUAAGAUUAAUGUUCCUCUUAAAUCAAAUGGUUAAAAAUAAUUUUCUCUAACUUGUGUAUGGUGCACAAAUUUAAUAGUUUGUGAACCCUAAAUGCCACCUAGGGCUGGACAACGGUCGGUUUUCGGUUGAAAAACCUCAAUCCGCCGCAAACCACGGUUGGGAACAUCCCACCCAUUUUUGCCCAUCUGAUUCGUCGGUUAUCGGUUGAAGCAGUUUGUCGGAUACGCGGUUGGUUUAUCACGGUUUGACAGGGAAAAAAAAAGCUACUUAAAAAGAUUCACCAUUUGGCAAAAUAAAAAUAAAAAAUGUAUGUGGUCUUUCAAAUACAACACGUGAAUUUCAUACUGCUAAUUUCCAAUUUGUAUGUCAAAUUGGAAAAUCAUUCAUAUACAUGCUUAUGUUUUCAUUUUACUGGAUUUCAAAUUCAAUCCUGGACUUUCAGAUGCAAAACAAAAGAAUGGUGAAGAUGAAGAUCUUGAGAUCUAUUGAUUAAGAAUUAUUAAGGUGUAGAUUCUUAUGCAAAAGAAGGAUGAAAGACGUGUGUGAUUAGUUUAGGUGUAGAUUCUAAUGCAAAACAAGGUCGGAGAUGAAGAUAAGGUAUGAAGUUGAAGAUUUUGGAACUCAUGUUGUUGAGUCUGAAGAGGAAAAGCUGAAGCAGUGAGAGAGAAUGAAAGAGUUUGGACUGGCGGCUAUGGUUUCUAUGGUGUGUUUUGUCACAUGUUUAAGUGAAAUAUGGGCUUGGAUAGUUGGGUUAAUUAUGGGCCUUAUCCAUAAGCAUAGUAGAAGCCUGUAAGUAGUAUAAUACGGUCGGGUGUGGUUUUCGUUGGGUUGGAUUUGCCCAACUGAAACCGACCAACACUAUCCAACCAAACCCAACUAUCUCAACCUGCUAGACCCGUUUGAACCGACCCGCUGCCAUACGGGCCAUACGGUUCGGCCCGAUUGGGCCGGUUUGGCAGAUUCAGUCCAGCCCUAAUGCCAACCAUAAAUGAAGGACCGCCUUCCUAGUUCAUAGAUAUUUCAAGCUAUUAUUAGGGUGGCAUUUAGAAUGCACAAAUAUUAAAUUUGUGCACCAUGCACAAGUUUUUUUUUGCCAUUAGAUUAAAUGUAGCACAUAUUUUUAUCAUGGUCUCUCACUAUCAGAUUUUUCUCGCUUUCUCUCUCUACAUCCUCUCCUUCCCCACACCAACAAACUUCCCUCACUCCAUCGCGUCACCAACCCCUGCACCACCACCCAAUCCGCCCAUCCUCCACCAUCAUCUCGUCCUCCACCCUCCUCCCACUUCACCGUCGCUGUGUAAAAACUUGAACCCAUCACUCUCUGUCUCAAAAAACCUGAUGGGACCAACAUCUGCUCCCUUUUCUCCCUCCCUCUCAUCUUUUAUCUCAUUAUUAUCAAAUUGAAAGCUAACAUCAACUUGAUUAACAGUUUCUUCAUUUUUUUUUAAGGGUUAAUGGUGCUUUACCCCCUGUAAUAUAGGUCAUUUUUGGUUUUUCCCCCUGUAAUUUUUUUUUUUUUUUGGAAUACCCCCCUAAUAGGUCAUAAAAAAACGUUUUUGCAGAAUUUUUUCAUUUUUUUAUGACCUAUAUUCCCAAAAAAAAAAAUUUUACAGGGGUAAAUCAAAAAAAAUAUUUUACAGGAGGAAAACAAAAAAUGACCUAUAAUACAGGGGGUAAAGCAUCAUUAACCCUUUUUUUAAACGCCAUCAAUUUUAUUAAAAGCUGAACCUCACACAGGUAGCUAAACCUUACAACAACUUCAUUUCUGGAUUUACAGUUUCCUCAUUCUUAUUUUUAAUCCGAAAAAAAAAGGGUCAAUUCCAAAAAAAAAAAAAAUCAUAAAUCAUAAUGAUGGUUAAUUGGAAAUGAUUCAAUUUUACCCAAAACAUCCCAAAAAUGGGUCAAUUCCAUUAAAGCAGAAAUGUUGAGAGUUUCGCUUUAUAUAAGGUUAAGUUUUUUUUUUUUGGAAACUUGAGAAUUUAAAAUAUGAAUAAUCGAUUCUGAAAACAAAUUUUCUUCACCAUUCCUCUUUUUCUCUUGUUUUCAACGAGAGUUUGAUGAGAAAAAAAAAAGUGUGUUUGGUGGUGGCGGUGAGAAGAGUACGAUGGUAUAGAGAGGUUGUGUGGACAGCGAAAAAAUAUAUAUUGUAGACAAUCUAUAAUAAAGAUCAAUGGUCUCUCUCAUCUAAUGGCCAAAAAUAAUUUUAUUAAAACUUGUGUAUGGUGCACAAAUUUAACAUUUGUGCACCCUAAAUGCCACCUAUUAUUAGGGUGUGUUUGGUUUGCAAAACAGUAAGUACUGGACAGAACAAUACAAGAUAGAACAGUACAACACAAGGCAGAACAGCACAGGACAAUUUUUUUAUGGCAUUGAGUAAUUUUUUGUUUUAUACGAUUUUUGAGGGACAAAAUGCUAUUUUGGUAUUUUAGAUAACUUGUACGUUGGACAAAAAGUUGUGCUGUGGUUUGGUGAGGGACAAAAAUAUGAGUUUUUGUCCUGUCAUUUGCCUCCAGUUUGUCCUGUACCUGAAACAGUUUUACAAAUCAAACACUGGACAACUAGAGUUGUUCUGUCCUGUCCUUCAUUUUUUAGCAAAUCAAACGCACCCUUAGUGUUUUAUAGUGCACAAAUUUAACAUUUAUGCACCCUAAAUGCCACUUAUUAUUAGUGUCUUUAUUCUUGUUUACUCGCCUACACUCUUGGAGUAUGUUUUCCACCAGGGCCAUGAAUUGUCACAUUUAAGGAUUUCAUCUUCAUUGCAGUCAGAGGAUCUCACAUUUACACAUUCAUAAUAAUGAUGGUUGUUCCUUCAAGAUUGGACGGUCGAAAAAAAUGGAUAUCUUAAAUUUUAUUUUGUAAUUUUGAAUACCAACUUUAUAUCUAAACUCCAAUCUUGAUUGGCCACCGAUAUUCCGAAGGCGGGGAAUCACUUACUGCAGUGGAGCUGAAUUUAUCCGCCAGUUAACACACACCACCUUUCUCAAUCGCAUGAAGCAAUUUGCAUUUGUUAAUUAUUCGAAGUGUAUUACAACUGUGAAGUGUAAGCACUAAGCAUUCCUAGUCCUGAUUUCCCAAUGACAAAGACGCCAAAAUAAAAAUCAAUCUACAAAGCAACAACAAAAUGUAUAGAAAGCAUAAAAACAUUUUGUUGUAUGCUAGCAACACCACAACAGCAACUUUAAAAACCAUACAAGUGCAGGAGCAUGUGGAUGCAUGCAAAACAACACUGGAUACACAUUGAAGUUACAAGAGAAAGAAAAAGGGGGAAACUUUCAGGAGAUGCACCAAGAUCACAAAUAAAGUAAGACUAAGGAAAAAAAAGUCGAAAAAAGCAAAAACAGCUUAAGGUGCACUUAAGGACUCAAAUUUGAAGCAAAAAAAGCAUGUUGAUUCAAAUGACGGCUUUUCUUUUUUUAAAUGACAGCUUUUCUUUUAUUUGUUAGAUUGAAAGCAAAAACAGCUACAGUAAUAAGGAAACAAUAGUUGCUCUUUCUAACCAAAGAUCCUCAAACAAGAUAUACGGUUGCAACUCAUACUGAACUAAGAACAAUUAACCACACAAAGAAGCAUAUCAUCAAUUAUCAAUAAAGAGCAGCAACACCAGCACCACUUUGACAUAUCAACUUCAAUGGAAAUGGAACAUUUCAACUCACUAUGAUGAGUUCCCCCCCUGUGUACACCACUCGAGAGCAGGGUCUUUUUUCAGUUGUUCUCCCAUUGGAGAAGAAGCAGCUAUUGUGGUAUACUAUGUGGGUGACUGCGUGUGUGCUUAGAUUUUUUGAAUUGAUAACAUUAGGUUAUGUGGGAUUUUCAUCCAUGAGACUUCUCAAGACCCAAAAGACUCAAGCUAUGGAAGAACAAGCCAUUGAAGAUAUGGGUCUUGAAAGCAGAUUGGAUGGAUUGGUGAUAGUAAAAUGCCUUCUGCAGCAGUGAUAAGAACUCAGCCAGUUCUUGAGAGCAUUGCUACAUAAGUUAUUGUAUUUUCCUGUUUGUCAUCAUGUCCCCAAUGGCCCUUCUCACUUUGAUAUUAGAACUUUCAAAAUUGAUGGAUUGUUAAGACUCUUUUGGGGUCCUUUCAAAAUGGAUGGAUUGUUAAGACUCUUUUGGGAUCUGGAUUCUCAUUUUUUAAUCCAACGGGAAGGGGGGUUAUGUUGAUGAUUUCAUGAUUAAAUCUCAUUGGGUUCUACAACUUGAAAAAUAUAUAAAUUGGACCCAAUGAGUUUUAAUGGUGAGAUAAUCAACAUAGCUCCUCAUGCUUGACUCAAAUAUGAGAGGAACCAAAUCCAAUCUUUAGUCAAAUGCAUAUUGCAUAUAUUGCAAGGUUCGUUCCUUCUGUGCAAUGAAAAAAGCAUGUGCAUACUUGCCUUUCUAGUUCCUAGUUAUUUCAAGAAUGUCUCUUAUUAAUAAUCUCUCAACUCUCUUGUAGACUUAUACUUGCCUAGUCGCUUAGGAAUAUGUUCUCUAUCAGGGUCAUGAAUUGCACAGGUAACACAUAAUAAUCAUAUUUCUCAAAUGCAUGAGGCAGUUUGCAUUAGUUAAUCAGUCUCAAACAACUGUAAUAAAGUGUAAGCGAUUAACUUCAAUAAAUAAACUGAAGGGGGAAUAUAGGAGCGUAGAUUCCACUAAAACCCACAAGAAGCAAUAUAAGGAAAACGUUCCCUAGUCCUGAAUCAAUCUACAAAGCAUACAACAAAAUGUAUAUUAAAAAACACUUAGCUAGCAAGGCAACAAAAGCAACUUUAAAAACCAUACAUAGUGCAUGAGCAUGUAGAUGCGUGCAAAACAACACUCGUCACACAUUGAAGUUACAAAAGGAAUAACAAAGGGAAUACACCAAGUUCAGCUAUAAAGUAAAGCUAAGGAAACAAAGUCCAAAAUAUAUUGAAACCUGAGAGGAUGUUUCUGUCAUUGUUAAUACACAGUCUUUAAACACAGCUUUAAAGGUAUCUAUGAGACAAAAGCAUCAACAAUUUAAAGUGUAAUUCAGGACUCAAACUUGAAACAAAAAAAGCAGGUGAACAAAUGACAAAGCUUUUCUUUUAUUUGUUAAAUUAAAAGGAAAAACAGCUACAACAAUAAGGAAACAAUAAUUGCUCUGCCUAACCGAAGAACCUCAAUCUCAACGAAACAUACAGUUGCAACACAAAUGCUGCAUUAAACAACAAACAAACAACUAACCACACUAAGAGACAUAUCAUCAAUUAAGAGCAGCAGCACCAGUACCACUCUGACGAGCAAGUUUUGUCCACUCGGUAUGGAAAGCGCCGGGACGAUCGAGACGCUCAUAGGUAUGAGCUCCAAACAAAUCCCUCUGAGCCUGAACAAGGUUAGCAGGAAGCCUUGCUCUCCUAUAUGUAUCAAAGUAAGCAAGACUAGCACACAUUCCAGGAGUACUAAUCCCAGCUGAAAUAGCCAAUCCAACAACCCUUCUCCAUGCACCUUGCCUUUGCACCAUUUCCUUAGCAAAUUCAGGAUCCACUAUCAAACUAGCCAAAUUAGGGUUCCUCUGAUAAGCCUUCUUAAUCCUAUCCAAAAACACAGCUCUUAUAAUACACCCACCUUUCCAAAUCCUAGCUAACUCCCCAAAAUUCAAAUUCCAACCUUUCUCAUCACUCUUUGCCCUCAACAAAUUCAUUCCUUGUGCAUAACUACAAAUCUUAGAAGCAUACAAAGCUUGUCUCACAUCAUCAAUCAACCUUUUCUUAUCAACCCCACUUCUCACAAACCCUCCCACUUCCUCGCCCAACCCCGCUUCCUUCAAAACUGCCGCGGCAUUCUCCCUCUCCUCCUUCAACCCACUCAAAUACCUACAGUCCAACGAAGCAGCAAUAGUCGGAGCAGCAACUGACAACUCCGCAGCUUGUUGAACAGUCCAUUUACCGGUCCCCUUCAUACCAGUCUUAUCCAAAAUCUUAUCCACCAAAUACCCAUCCCCACCUUCAUCCUUCACCUUAAAAAUAUCAGCAGUAAUCUCAAUAAGAAAACUCUCAAGCUCACCACUAUUCCACUCAGCAAAAAUAUCAGCAAGUUCAGAAUUGGACAAUCCACCAACAUGCUUCAAAACAUCAUAAGCUUCAGAAAUAAGCUGCAUGUCACCAUAUUCAAUACCAUUAUGAACCAUCUUAACAAAAUUACCAGAACCACCUUCACCAAUGUAAGUAACACAAGGACCAUCUUCAACCUGAGCAGCAACCUUGGUAAGAAUAUCUUGAAUAUUACUAUAAGCCUGGUAGGAGCCACCAGGCAUAAGAGAAGGUCCAUUUCUAGCACCUUCUUCACCACCAGAAACACCCAUACCGAGAUAGAGUAUUCCCUUUUCAGAGAUUUGUUGGAUUCUUCGUUCGGUAUUUUCAUACCAUUCGUUACCACCGUCGAUAAUACAAUCGCCGGGCUCCAUGUGAUCUGAGAGGGCGGAGAUUGUUUGAUCGACGGGAGCACCAGCUUUGACAAGGAUGAUAACUGAUCUAGGACGUUGGAGAGAGAGAACGAAUUCGCGAGGGGAGUAUUGACCGGUUAAAGGGAGGGAGCCUUCACGGUGGGCACGAUCUACGGUUUCAUCGACUUUGGAAGUAGUACGAUUGUAGACGGAGAUUGGGAAGCCUUUCUCGGCGAUGUUUAGGGCUAGGUUUUGGCCCAUUACGGCUAGGCCAGCGAGGCCUAUGCGAGAGAGAGUGGAAGCGUCCAUAGUUGAAUUGAAGAAAUGAAAUGAAAUGAAAGAAGGAGUUGGUGAGAUAGAGAGAGAGGGGAAGGAGUGUGAAGUGUUUUUGUAUGAUGAGUUGUUGUUGUUGAGAAGUGGCGGACUCGUCGAGGGUGUGAAAGGACAGUGACUUAACCACCAACGAGGAGCUACCGUUACCUCCAAGAUGUGUCAAAAUUGUUACAUAAACGACUGCGUUUUAGAGUAUCCAGUCAACUCGUAUAAAAUUUAAAUUGAUUAAUUAGACACAAAAAUUAGAAUGUUGAAAAAUUAUCCUAGUUAGCAUCCUUUCGUCUCAAUCCAAUUAUCAUUUUAUUUUGAGGGAAUACACAAAUGAUAUUUAGAUACCCCUAACCCUCUAUCUCACCAUUUUCCUUAUGAUGCAUAAAAAGUUUUAGUUCAUCUUUGUGCUUACUCCAAUAUAAGUUUUCUAUCGUUGUCAUCAUCUAUUAAAAAGAUUGAACAUAAUGCAUCAUACACUAAAGUUGCUUUAAAUUAUUUCUUUCUGUUAAGAGGUUAACAAAUGGGUGAGGUUUAGCAUGGGAAAGCUAUUUUUUUUUCAUCAUGAAAAAGUUAGUUUUUGAUCAUUAGAUCAAACCAAGAACACAUCCUUAUCAUAAUCCCUCAUCACUAGAUUUUGUAAUUUUAUUAUUUUGAAACCAUUUUUUAAAAACAAAAAAUAUACUUCGAAAUUAAAAUAAACAUUUAAAAAUAUGGAAAUUAAUUUUCCAAAAUUUUAAAAAAUAUAAAUAAACUUGUUUUCAAAAAAAUUAAUUAUGAUUUUCAAAGAUUUAAUUUUUGUAAUUUUCAAAAACUAAUUUCCAUAUUUUUUUAGAAUUAUUUUAUUUCGAAAAAAAUGUAAAACCUUACCUGAAGGUGAAAUCGAGAAUUCUUCAAAGUUUCGGAAAAUCAUAAUUAAAUUUGAAAAUUACAAAUAUUAAAUCUUCGAAAAUCAUAAUUAAAUUUUAUGAAAACAAGUUUAUUUCAAAAAGUUUAUUUAUAUUUUUUUAAAUUUUGGAAAAUUAAUUUCCAUAUUUUUAAAUUUAUUUUUUAUUUUUAUAUGUUUAUUUUAAUUUCGAAAUAUAUUUUUUGUUUUUAAAAAAUGAUUUUAAAAUAAUAAAAUUACAAAAUCUAGUGAUGAUGGAGUAUGAUAAGGAUAUGUUCUUGGUUUGAUCUAAUGGUCAAAAACUAACUUUUCAAGUAGCUUUCCCAUGCUAAACCUCACCUAACAAAUGAGUAUAUUACUCCUCUUUCUUCUUGUCGGAAAAAAAAAAAAAAAAAAAAAAAACUCUUUCAAAAAAUUAAAAUUGCUAAAAGGAAAUUUUUAAUUUUACAGGGGUCAAAUUAAAAUAAACAUAACUGUUACUUUAGUAUGGCUUGAAAUAAAAUAUUUGCAAUUCUUUAUUUUCCUAAAAUAGAAAAUAGCUUUGCCAAGUAAACCAAGCUUUAAAUAUGAAACUCAGAUUUUAUACAAACACUUCAUCAAUUUUUACAAGUUCUUAGAGAGAAAUGAUUUUUAAAAAUACUAAUUUUUUUUUCUUAUGUAAUUUUACUAAGACCGGUUGUGUGCGUCCCUAAAACUCAGCUCCCUUAAACUUUUUGAAAGAGGAAAGCAAUUUUUUAGAAAAAUAAAUAAAAAAUAGCAUAAUUUGGACGUCUCUCCUGGGUAGAGAUCAUAAAUCCAGUCACUGCAUAAGAGUAGUUUUAUUUUCAACAGAGAACAGUUAUAUACUUUGACCAUGCAAGCCAUUGGAGAACAGUAAACAUCAUAACAUUGGCAACAAUGUCCAAUAUAUUAUUUGCAACUAAGUCGGAGAAAACACCAUCAAGGUGAAACUAUUCAUCAAUUAAAUAAAUAAAAAAUGAACACCACAUGCCCCCUUCACACACGAUAUGAGAACAACAGGCCCUAUAAAAAAAUGGAGUAUUUCAAAGAACAAGUUUACAUAAUCAAUGACAUCCAUUGAGGAUAUGUAUUCCAGGGGCAACAAAAUGUAAUCGAAGUCAUCAAGCAGCAGCUUGUCCAAAGAGCUGCUUUCGGAUCUGCGACAAUGAGCAAGAAACUUCAUUAGUCAUCAGAUGCUGACUAGUUUAUUUUCAACACUUCCCACGUAAAACGGCAGAAACAAAAAAGAAUGUGGACAAUAUAACUUCAAUUAUCAUAUCAUCUAUAGCCAAAUCUUCCUUUGAGCCACACACAUGAGUGCAAACAUAUAUGUGGUAGUUAUUUAUUUAACGCCAAGGCAAAAUAGCAGAAGACCAAUAAACCAAGUACAUAAAAUGAGACAAGACAACCCUCGUAUUCUCAUACAUAGGACACUCCAAAAAAUACCAAAGUUUUCAUUCUAUACAAUAUCCAAAGUCAACAAAAUGUAAUCUGAGAAAUUUCACUAGUCACCAGAUGCUAACCAGUUCAUUUUCAACAUCACCCACAUAAUAACAGAAGAAACAAUAAAAUGAUGUGGACCUAUUGCCAACUUUGAUUGUCAUAUGACCUAUUGCCAAAUCUUCCUUUGAGCCACACAUAUGCGGUAGUUUUUUAAUGCUGAGACGAAAUUGCCCAAGACUAAUAAACCAACUAAAUAAAAUGAGACAACCCACAUAUUCUUGUAAACAGGACACUGCAAAAAAUACCUAAGUUUUCCUCCCAGAUAUCCAAGGUGAACAGAAUAUAAUUUGACGCAAAGUGGGGUGAUAAUGGAUUUAUGAGAACAUGGGAGGAAUAAUUGGUGAAAAUGAUCUUUUAGAGCAGUAUAGCAAAUACAAAGGUGCAAACAGAGAGAAGGGGAAAAAUCUCUCUGGUUUUCAAGCCAAAAUUUCAGAAGUUUAGAAUAUUAAAGACUGAAGUGCAUAUCACGAUCCAAGAAAAAACACAUUGAGAAAGGAAAGAGAAUCGCCAAUGCUAGAAGUUAUCUGGGAGUGAGCAGCUAGUUCACAGAGUUUUGUUUGAAGAAAUACUUUUUUCUUUGUUGCAUACUAAUUGUCGGCCUUAGCCCUGAAGUCCCUCCCCGGUUAUCUUCCCCUUAAUACGUACAAUAUUUCAAGUUAAUUGUCUUAGUUGUUUAUCAAAGUGUGUAUGAGUAUGACUCGGUCGAAGAAUUAUAUUUCAAUGUCAAAGUUCAAAUGUCAUAAAAAAUAACUGCCUUUCUAGUUGAAAAUAAUAUGACAGUCGACAAUACUAUUAUAAUGAAGAGAAACGAAUCACAGAACAUGACAAUAGCAAUGCACACAAAAAAUUACCUCCGGAAGCUUUUUACGGAACACUACAUCCAGCCGUGCAUCAAGAGUAUUUUCACACACAAUCUUUCCAUCACGAGAAGCCAACACCACCCCACCAGAGCUGAAUUUUCCACAAAUAUAAUCAGGUAUGCUGAAACUGAUAUCGAAUAUUAAAGCAGCUACACAACUAAUCAAAUGUUUAGAUGGUCAUCAGAGAAGGCUUUCUCAUGUCUCAAUGUCAAAUCAACACGAAAAUACAAAAGCAACAAACUGUAGAGUUGUUUGACCUUGUGGUACUGUCGUGAUUUAUUGAGUCUCCCAAACCCAUAAUAAAACAACUUUAGCUAGUAUGCUCAGUCAACUAAAAACAUGGUAACCUUAGGUUUGAAACUCUUGAUUAAUUUUGACCAGAAUGUGUAACUAAUCAAGAAAAAGGUACAGCAUGAGUAAGAAGCAGGACCAUUAACAGAUCCAUACAGUUGCUUAAUAUUUAAAUAGAAGUCUGUAACAUGAACUUUACCAGUAAGGUUCGUGAGUAUUGUGAUGCUUGGGUGCAGGGGGAAGAUAGACACUGUGGUCAACAAUGAUCUCUGGUGGAUAAACACCUGCUUUUUCAGCAUACUCCUGUGCAGCUGCAUCCAGCACAUGUUCUACCAAGUGCACGUCAUGUUUCUGACAUCUCAACAAGACAGAAGGUUCUCUAAGUCUUAGCAAACUCUGUAAUGUACAAGUCUUAUAUUACAUUAUACUCCAAGUCCACAUACUUGUGCAUAGAAGGUGGUCCAUAAAAUAAUAUCAGAAGAAUAAGUUCAUGUAGAGGGAAAGAGGGAAGGGCAGGGAUUCAAUCCAAAAAAUUAAACAUGCUAACUUAAAAACCAAGGUUGCAUCCCAUGUCAGUAUAUAAUUAUCAUUUGAAAUCAAUGAGAAUGGUUCAUUAAGGUCCCCUGAUCACUCCAAUUUUUCAUGAAUAUACUAGUUAUAUAAUUUGUAACUUCAAUAAGUGUAAUGUUCAAGAUCAAACGAGAAUCUACAAAUAGUAUAAAAUUGGAACACAGUAAGUAAAUAACAGCAACACUAUCAAUAAGUGUAAUCAAGAAUCUACAAAUGAUAAAGAUACUUGGCAAAAUGCAAGAUCAAACGAUAAUUAGGUGUAAAAUAUUUAAAUGUUAACUGACCUGAACAAUGAGACCUUUUAGAAGGUUUCUGUACUCAUGAUUGCCCACAUGUAAAAUAUCUUCAACCAGGUGAUGACGGCUCACAUUCAAAAGUUCCUUGGCAGUAACUUCUUUCAUUGAAUUAACAAUGUCAUCUUGAGCUUGAAGAACAUUGAUCCGAGAAGCAUUCAGCUGCAUUGAGUACUCACUGCCGCAAACAAUUGGGCCACGGAAAUUAUAAUAUAUCAACUAGCAUAUUUUGUAAGUUUAGAAUAACAAUACAGAAAUGCACAAUAUUCACAUCAUGAAACAAAUUAAGCUUCACAAAAAAAUGGUUCCACUCAUCAUAUUUUGGCAAUAAAAAAACUUAAUUUAACUUGACAUGUACGAAGCACUGAGAGACACACGUUGACACCAGAUUUUUUUUUUAAAAUGAAGUAAUUGAAUGUAAUCAAAUGCAUGUUGGUGUCAGAAAUGAACAAUAUUCACAUCAUGUAACAAAUUAAGUUUCACAACAACAAAAAAAAAGUUCCACUCAUCAUAUUUUGGAAAUAAAAAACCUUAAGUUUAACCUGACAUGUAUGAAGCACUGAGGGAGACACGGACACCAGACACACGUUGACACCAGAUUUUUUUUUGAAAAAAAUUAAGUAAUUGAAUGUAAUCAAAGGCAAGUUGGUGUCCGACAUGUAACGUCUUCCAUCAGAAGUGUCAGUUCUACAUCAAAAAACACAAUGAACAUACGGAGAGAAACUAAAUUAAACAUUAAACUACAUUUAACAAAGCUCAACGAAGCUGAAAUUAGUUAAUUUCACCGAACAUUACGAUAAUGAUCCACUAGACAAUGACCAGAAAUCAAGCUUUGGCAAAUAACAACAAUCAACAUGCUUUGUUUAACUAUCACUCGCAAGGAUAAAAAAACAAGAUCUAUGCCAACAUAUUCAUUAUCCGAAAUUAUAAAUUGAGAUUGUGAUCGGAAUCGAUCACCAGAAUUCAAUUUCAACCAAUUCCACAAACAAAUGUCAAAGUAAUAAAAAACAAUUGAAAGUUCAAAUUAUCAGUGAACAAAACAGCGUAAAAAAAGUUCGAGAAAAUUACAUUUUCUUUCGAAUUUCAACUUGGCGCUCUUUUCGCUCAUAUUCUUGUCUGAUCUUCUUCUUCUCAGCUUCAACCAACUGAAGCUUCUCGAUAUUGAAUUCCUACACGAAGAAACAAAAAAAAAAAAAAAAAAAAAGGAGAGUUACAUUGCCGAGAGGAUCAAAUUUCAAUGCAAUGCAAUGAAGCUUGAUCGAGAAAAGAGAAUGAUUAGAGAAAUGGCGUUACCUCUUCAGCAGAGAGAGAGAUCUCGCUGGCUUUUUCUUCAGCUUCUUGACGGAUAAAUCUCACCAUCUGGUGGAUUUGCUUAGAGACAUCACCGUCGUUCAUUUUCGGAGAAGUUCGACAGGAAAGCAAGUUCGUCAAUGGCCGAAUCAAGUUGAUAUGUUUCAGUUUCAACAACAGAGUAACAGUCUACUACUACUGGGGCCAGCUAAGCUCCUUUUAAAUAUGCGCAAGUAAAGUAAUUUCUCACCAUCAUAUGACUAUAUUUUUUGUGGUGAAUUUUUUCUUUUUACUUUUAAAUUUUGGUGGUAGAUGUUAACUUAAAACGUGUUUUAAGGGUGUUAAGGAAUUCUUUUUUUUUUUUGGUCUAAGUUAAGGAACUCUUUAUAUAAAUAUAUGGAUUAAAAGUCGUGCAUUUAACUUCUUAAAAAUUAAACUAUUGUGUUUUCCAAUAUAAUUAGGAACAAAUUUUUUUAAGGUAAAUUCUAUGGUACACCCACUAUAUUUGAGUGUAUCGGUACACCCACUCUUUAAAUUCAUAGUUAAAUGAGUUGUUUUUUUGAAGAAAAAUAUUAUUUUUUAUCAUUUAUAAUUAUAAUAACUAAAUCUUAUUCAUCAAAAGUAUCAACAAAAUAAUUUUUUAUUUUUUAAAAUUUUUAUCACUCAUAAUUGAGAACAUUCAUUAUUUUUUACGAUAAUAUGUAAAAAAAGUUAUUAUGAUUCUUAUAAACAAUUAAACGAUGUUUUUUCUUAUGAAAUGUUGUUUUAUAAAAUAUAAAUAUUGACAAAUAGCUAUUUACUGCAUAAAAAAUGAUCGUUCAUUUAUAAAAUUAAAAAGUAGAAGUACCGGUAUACCUCAUUUUGUGAGUGUACCGUAGAAGUUCCCUUUUUUUAAUGAUAUACUCACUUGUGCUUUUUGAAAAAAAUUAUAUUGUCAAAUACUUAAAAGGAUUCUUUUGUAAUAUACUAGGUUUGUACGGGGUAUGGUCAUAUGGAGACUAGGUAAGGUCCUAGUAGAUUUUCUAAUAAUUUUAGUUAAAAAGAUUUUGCAAAAUAAACUUAUGAAUUCUGCUUUUCUCCCAUCAAAAAUUGUUCGCUCCUAACUAAACUUUUGAAAAUACUUCUGCGUGAGCCUACGUGAGUUAACUCGUGCAUGGUUUAUAACUAGCAAGAGUUAACUUACGCAGAAUUUAUAAUUAGCGUGAGUUAACUCACGUAGCGUGACUUAAAUCACGCAUGAGUAUUUACGCCUUUUCAAUUUGGAGAAGAGCGGAAUUCUAAACUUAUUAGGUUUCUACGAAAAUGGGUUCAAAUGGCCCAAAUCAAUUCUUAAAAAGCACAAGGUUACUUUUUAGGUCCCCUCCAUAUCUUUUUAGGCCCUCUAAAAUGACAAAAUUAACUUUGGUUAAAAAUUGCACUCUUAAAUAAGAUUUUGCACUCUUAUUUGCAGAAUAAGAAAAGUUAUUAGUUCUGGUAUGGAUAUACCAAAGGUGUAAAAAAGAAAUCACAAAUAUAUCUGAAAAUAGCAGACACAUUUAUGUUGAACCGCUCUAAUAUUUGCAUCUCUGUCAAACAGGUAAUGAGUGUUCAUGUUGAAAUAACUGUUACCAAUUUCAUAAUAGUAACUGGCAAAAUAAUAGAAUAUCAAUUUCUUCUUUUGACAUAUACAACUCAAUGCUCCACCCAGUACUCGUUGUCAAAACAAAACAAAAACUGUCCAUAACCACUUUUUUCAUUUAUCUUUAGCUAUGUCAUCUUAUAAAAAUACCAUUCAAAUCAUUUAAAGCGAGAGAAGUACAUUGUAAAAUAAAUAUUGUCCAUUGAAUCCCAAAAAAAUUCCAUCGUCAAGUCUAAAACUACAACAUGGUAUCGUAUAUGUUCAAGUGAGAUUCAAACGAAGCUUUAAUUACCUCUAAAGUUGUCAGUAGAGGAUGAAAUGCACAACUCAAUUGGACCAUCUUUCACAAAAUUAAUUAGUAUGUUUUCAUCAUAUCACUUUCAUGCAUACUAAAGCAGAUUGUACUGCACCAAUGUUGAAGAAUAAACGGCCCCCAACCUGAGUUCGGAUAUGCUCGAUUUAGAUUAAGCUCCAUUUACUUCAUUUAAGAUUUGGAUUUUUGACAUGUGGCAAAAAAAAUCUAACGGUUGAGAUUUUAAAUUAAAAAAUAAGAAAAUGUUGUUGUGAUAUGAGAGAAGAAGGGAACAUGAUUUGUUUGUUAUUAUUAUGUAUUUUUAUUAAACAAAUAUUUGUUUUUUUAUUUAAAAUCUUAACCGUUAGAUAUUUUUUUGCAACAUGUCUUGCAUCCAAGCUCUAAAUAAAGUAAAUAGAGCUUAGCCUAAAUGAAACAUACCCGAACUCCUCAACCCCACCAUUAAAAUUGAAAGGGUAGAAUGCAGAUAACAAAGAAAUAGAUAGCUCUGUUACAUUAUUUUUUUAAUGAAUGGGUAUUCUUUAAUCACGACUAUGAAGAUUAAUAUCUCAAACCAGCUAAGGCUACAAUAGAUGGCAAAGUUCUUCUUCACGAGAUUUGUCUAGCAUGAGUUUGAUUACUAUAAUUAAUUAACUAUAUUAGAUAUGUUUGAGGUAAUUGUAUAUUGUUGAUAAUUAUAUGUGAUGCUGCUUUCAAUUUUCAUGCGAAAAAUUGGUUUGUAGCAAGGACAACGGAAACUAUUGUCUUGAGAAAUAUCUGUUGGCACUUGAUCCCAACCAUCUCAAAGAUAGUUUUUUAGUUUUCUUUCUUAACAUCAAACAGUGUAGUAAGAUAGGAAUUAGGAACAGAGAGCGAUAUGAUUUCAUUUAUUUCUUAUUCAAGUCACUUUCAAAUUAGUUGAGUUGAUGCUCCAAAUUAGCUACCACGUCUUUCAUGAAAAAGGGAUGAGGUGAAGAGCUCUUUUUCACUAUUUCACAACAAAAAUGGGUUAAAAUGUAAAACUGUGACACUUUCAAGCCAAUGAUAUCCAUUUUAAAAAUAAAGCUAAUAUUGCAUAAUCAAGAGUUAUCAUUUUUCAAUAAUAGUUGAUGUUGGAAGACAAUACGUGUAUAUGACCUACCUAUAAAAUCACAGUGCCCCAAAAGUGUAGGUGCAUUCACCAAAAAUUGCCUAAGGUAGUGGUAAUGGCAAGCUAGUAGUCACAUUCCAUUCCGCCACCAAAUUGGCACACAUCAAACUUUCAUUCAAAACAAUGAACUAAAUGUUGAAACAUUUUCAUAUGAUUAUGAACAAAGUUGUUCCUACAUGUCUUUCCCAAACACAAACGGGUCACACCAUUGGAUGAUUUAUGGCUUUCCUCUAUCCAAACAAACUUACAAAUACUACGGUCUCAAACACUGCAGACAGAUUUCAAUAUCAAAAAGCAUGUCAAAUUAUUAAAGUACUCCAAUGAGUAUAGCAACUUUCACAAUUUUAGUCCCAAAAAAAUGCAUUAUAAAAAUAAAAUGGCUUAAAUAUGAUAAUCGUCCCUGUAAUUUGGUCAAGUUUUGAUUUCCGUCCCUAUAAAAAAAAAACUUUGAAAUACAUCCUUGUAAAAAAUAAAUUUGUUUGAAAAAGGUCUUUGGCCCCACUAUUCAGCUGAUUUGGCAUGGUUUUGGCCACGUGGCAGUUGCUGACUGUGCAACUUUUGCCAUGUGGUGUGCCACAUAAUAUUAAAUUUUCUUAAAAAAAUUAAAAUUAUGAAAAUUGUUUUUAAAAUUAAAAAAACUGAAAAUAAAAUUUAAAAUAUUAAAAUAAUUUUCUGAUUUAUUUUUUUGUAUAAUUUUUAAAAUAAAAUAAUUUUUUUUUGCAAAAUAAUAUAUAUUCAAAAAUUUCUGAAAAAAAUAAUAAUUUUUUUUUAAAUUAAAAUUUUCAUAAAAGAACAAGAAAUUAGAAUUUUUUUUUUUAAAUUAUAAUUUAUUUUCAAAAAUUUUAAAUUUAUAACUUUUGAAAAUAUAAUUGUCAUUAUUUUGGAAAAAAAUUUAAUGUAUAAUUUUCACAUUUUUUUAAUUUUAAUAGUUUUUAUGUCAAAAAAUUAAGUUUUCAAAGAUUUUUUUUCAGAAAUAUUUUAUGAUUUUUAAUUUUUUUUAAGAUUUUUUAAAUUAAAAAAAAAUAAUUUUCAGAAUUUCAUUUUUAUUUUUUUUAAUUACGUGGACUACCACGUGGUGAAUAACAUGUCAAGUCAGACAUGAAGUGGGGCCAGAGACCUUUUUCAAUUAAAAUUUUUUUUACAGGGAUGUAUUUCAAAGUUUUUUUUUUACAGAGAUGAAAAUCAAAACUGACUCAAAAGGACGAUUAUCAUAUUUAAGCCAAAUACAAUUUAUUCAAUGAUGCCACGCGCAUAAAAAAUUGAAUAAAAUAAAUAUUUUUAAGUUAUUGAAUAUGUACCCUUUAAAAAAAUGAUUAUGUAUAGUUAAUUGUGCAAAAACCACAUUAAUUCUGUAAAAAUAAUGAAUAACUUAUCUACCACGUAAUGAGCUUAAUUAAAAAACAAAAAAGAUUACUUAUAAUAAAUUUUUAAAAUGAGGUAUAAUAUGUUAAAACUAAAAUAUCAUUGUGCAAAAACGAUAUUGUCUUGUUAAAGAGGAAUUUGAUCCACAUCCCGUUUCAUAGACCAACUGUUUUUCUAGAUAAAUGGCCUGUGUUAAUUUAUCAUGAUAGCCAUCGAAGAGGACAUGCAUGCAGUUGGAAGAAAAUGACAUGCAUAAACAGACUCUUUUUCUCAUUGUCUUGUUUCUUACCCUCAUCAACACCACACCCAAAUCACACUUCAAAAAUAGCAAUACUUGUUUAUAAGAAUACACAAAAAAGAUUUAAUAUGAGAAAGAGAGAUAACAUCAAAAAUAUCUUGAUCAUAAUAUUUAAACACUAUUUAUUUACACUUGUUCUGUUGUUCAUAAUGGAUUAUUGAAUUUUGGAUUAAUUAAGUUUUUGGUCCCUAUAAAUAUCUGCAGUUUUGUUUUUAGUCUCUAUAAAAAUAAAUAAAUCGCAUUUUUUAGUCCCUGCAAAAUUUUCCGUUAGUGUUUUUAGUCCCCGAUAAAUUAAAAUUUGUUUAAUUAUGCUUAAAAUUUUAAAUUUUUUAAUGAUUUUUUACAUACUUGUUUAAAACAUUAUAAAAGGUUCCGCCACAAUAAAUUAGCUCAAAAUUUUAUUUUUAGGUUCAAAUUUUCGUUAGUUUUAUCUUGAAUUUUUGGCGUUUUAUAAAAAUUAUAUUUAAUUCAUUACAUGUUAAAAAAUUCUAAUUUUUUAUAAAAGAGAUUAUUAUAAUGUUCUUAACAUAUCUGUUAAAAAUCACUUAAAAAUAUAAAAGUGUAAGUAUAAUUAAACAAAUUUCAAUUUAACAGGGACCAACACAUACUUUUAGUUCUUGUAAAAUUAAAAUUUGCUUAAUUGUGCUUAAAUUUUUUAAUUUGUAACAUAUUUUUCAUAUACUUACUUAAAAUGUUAUACAAAGUUCAUCCGCAAAAAAGUAACUUAAUAUUUUAUUAUUAGAUCCAAAUUUUCAUUAAUAUAAUCUUGAAAAUUUGGCUUUUAGAAAAAUUCAUAUUUAAUUCAUUACAUGUUAAAAAACUAUAAAAUUUUAUAAAAGAGUGUCUUACGAUGUUAUUAACAUGUAUGUAAAAAAUCUUUUAAAAAUUUAGAAGUUUAAGCAUAAUUAAACAAAUUUUAAUUUAACAGGGACUAAAAACACUAACAGAAAAUUUUGUAAAGACUAAAAAGUAUGAUUUAAUUUUAUAGGGACUAAAAACAAAAUUGCAGAUAUUUAUAGGAACCAAAAACUUAAUUAACCUUAGAAUUUUUUUUUUAGCAGUUUUACAAAUCUUUUUUUCCUCUGGUGUUGGACCAUUGGCAACGUUGACUGAUUGUCGUUAUUGUAAAAGUGCCAAUGAUCAUUUCACCCCUCUCUGGCCUCUUCAACCUGCCACUCAUUGCUCCUACCCUCCAAAAUAAUUAAUAUACAGAUAUAGACUUAUUUCAACACCUUUAUCUAUUUAAUAUUAGGAUUUUGCACUCGAUCAGUAAUUGAUGAUAGAACCUAUAAACAGACACUUAAUUAAAUUCUAAUCGUUUAUUGGGGUAUGUUUGAUUUUGUGGUAGAUAGUGAAAUGAAAUAAUCAACUCCCUCCAUUAUAGUUUAACUCAUUCAUUUGUAAAAAAAUAUUGUCCCAAACAUAGUUUUGAAAAAUAUGUAUUCUCUUUUUAUUUUUUAUUCUAUCUUCAUAAUAUAUUAUACAAGUAAACGUUUCUAUUUUUUUAAAGGGAACCAAACACUCUUUUUUAUUUUAAGGAACCAAGCUCGCUCUUAUCAUUUAAAUAUUAUUGUCCGACAUCUUAAAUAUUUUAAUAAAAAAAAUUUUACAAUAUUUUUUUUGAAAGAAUAGUUUUAUUUUACUAUAUUUAUUUGAAUAUGUAUUACUCUCUUCGUCCAUAUAUUUAAACACCCAUUUGAUUUUAUUUUUGUCCUUAAAUGUAAACCUUUUUUAAAUUACAACACUCAUUAAUUAUUUUAGUUUCUAAAGUGACCGAGUCACCGAUUCAAUCCGAGUUAAUCCGGUUAAAUAACUAUAUAAAUUUAAUCUAAGGACCGAGUUAUCUAACCGAGUCAUCCGAGUGGUUCCGAUUCAGUCAUGCGGUUCGACCAAUGACUCAGUGGUUCGACCAUUGACCCAUUGACCCAGUACCUCCGCCGAGUCGAUGACCGAGCCGAGUUUUAAAACUAUGGUCCCAAGAAUCUCGACUCAUUUCACUUUUCAAUACAAUAUUAAUUACUUUUUUUCAAUUAUAACUGUAAUUAAUACUAAUUUCACAACUCCCAAUUCAAUAUAUUCUACUUUACAUUUAUGAUAAAGAAGAAUGCAACAAUACUUGAAAAAGGCACUCAAAACUAUAUUUCUCUCUUUCUUUUAUACAUUUUUCUUAAUCUGUGUGAAAUGGAAAAUUAGUUCAGUUAAACUGGGACGGAGGGAGUAAUUUUAUUUUUAAAGAUGAAAUAUUCUAAUUGUAUUUUAAAAAAUGGACGAAAUAUAUUCUAUUUUAUUUCACCCCAAAACACCUUACACAGCUGAUUCAAACCAAUAUGAUAUAUAACAAAGUCAAACUGAAUCACUUAAAUAAGGUUUUGUUUAGGAGAAUGAUAACUAGUGCCCUAAGGGCAAUGGUUAAGCAUCUAAAAUAAGUAAGUUUUUAUGAAAAAACUAUGUAAUCAUUACUUUAUAAAAAAUAACAUUUUAUAUUUCCAAGACAAAAUUUUUAUUUGUAGAUUCCUUAACCAUUAACCUGAGGGUACUGGUUAGCAUAACCCUUUUGUUUAUAAGCCAAGUUAUGAAAAGAAUAUGGUUUAGAGGUCAAAACCGACUAUGGAUGAUCAACCAAAUUCUACUGCGGAAAUUAGUUAUUUGCAAAAUUGGUGGAUAUAUCACACAUGGAAUAUAAUGCUAGCGGCAUACUCUUUAGCACACAUCAAUAUACCUUAGCACACAUCAACAUACUCUCUUUUAUAGAUUAAAGUUCACAUGAGUUUUCACCAAAUUUAUAUGGAAAUCAUAUGAAGUGGCGAGAAAUUGAAUUAUGAUCAAUAAAAAAGAAUGUGUUGAAAAAUGUACUUGUAGACUUUUCAGCCACUAUUAUAAGGAAAUAUUCUUUUUUCAAAUUCAUUGAAUAAGUAAUCGAUCUAGUUUAUAAAUUAUGAGGAAUGCUGACAACACUCACUUUUGAACACUCUCUUUAGCAAUCACUCUUUUGUUAGAUAAAAUCAAUGUAUGUCCCACCGCUUUGUGUAGGUUCUGUUUUUAAUGUGUAGACUCAUAAUGAUUUAAACCAACAAGAGAGUGAGUAUUAGAGAGAGUGUUGCUAGCACUUCUCAUAAAUUAGAUGAUACAUUAUUUAUUCAAUAAAUAUGAAAAGAUGAUAUUUACUUAUAAUAUUGAUGUGUUAACCGCCCUCGUAAUAUGGUUAUCUAAAAAUACUACUACGCAUGUUUGGUUUUUCGUUUGAUAACAUAAAUUCGACUUUAACUUUAUGUUUAAACAUCACUUGAAAACUUACAUACAUGAAGAGGAGAUUACAAAUUCGAAUAUGGGUAACCUUAACAAUAUUCAAUUUAACAAUAUCGAUAUUGUCCGCACUAUUAUGAGUUGUUUUAAUAUUUCACAGAAGAUACUCUUAUAUAUUAUUAUUAUUCUAUUUUAAUCUAAGUUAAAAUAGUUUAUAUUUAAAUCCAUUUGAGCCAAAAUAAUCCAGAAAUAAUAAUAAUCCAUGUGAAUCCAAACAAGUCAUUUAAGGAUGAAAUCCAAACAUGUAACAUAUGACCCCACAUGUGAAGAGGUAAUACGACUACCACGUCACUAUUUCCACCAUUUCCAUGAUGCUCCUGUUUUCCGUUAUUUACUCAUUAUUUAUUACUUGCGGUAGUAGUAGUAGUAGUGGACGCUCGUAUUAACAAAACAUGUGUUUCUGUUAGAAGAGACGUUCCAAUUCACACCAUUUUUAUCGUACACCGUUACAUCCACCGCAACAAAAUCAUCAAAAUAAAGCCGUUAACGCUUGUUCAAAAUCUUAUGUUAUGUGUUCACCACUUUACUCCUUCUACUAGUGUUGCCCCACUUUUUUAAACCACAUUCUUAACCAACCCAAACACAAAACAACCCAUUUUUUCUCUUCUCUAAUACGUGCUUUGGUGCAAAUUAAAGUUACGGAACAAAAAGACAUUCUUUAUUUCAGAUCUGCAACACAAGAAAAAUUGCCUUUGUCUUUCAGCCAAGUGAAGUGAGUAUUACUUUACUUUUCUUCCUAUAAAUUUUGAAUUCCACUGAAAAGUGUUUACUGAAUAAAUAAAGAAAUUCCUAAAAGAUGAAAUUCAAAAAUGAAAAAUAAUAAAAAAUUACUAGAAUUUUAGAAUAGAAAGAAACACAAGCACCUGCAAAGCUCUUUCUUUUAUGCAACAAGUUUCUCAGUGUCAGUUUCUACUUUCAUAGACAACCUUCUAGGAAUCACAAUUUGAAUUUUUCUCUCCAACCCUUUUUCUCUUUUCUUUAUUUUUCGAUUUUCACAAGCGGGAAAUUUCAUUUUUUUUCCCACUCUAUUACACUAACAUUCUUGUACUUUCAUUUGAAUCUAUGCAGCAUUAAGCUUAUUGCAGAAACUACUUGAAGUGGAAAAACAUGAAAUUUCUUUACAUUUUAUGCAUAUUGUUGUGUAUAUGGCAAGGAAAUUGUGACCCUGUUGAAGAUAAAGAGGUUUUGCUUGAUUUUGUGAACAAGUUUCCCCCUUCAAGGACUUUGAAUUGGAAUCAAAGUUCUUCUGUUUGUGAUAAUUGGACUGGUGUUACUUGCAAUGAAGAUAGGUCUAGAGUUAUAGCUAUCCGUUUACCUGGUGUCGGAUUUCAUGGCAAUAUUCCACCAAAUACUAUCAGUAACCUUUCAGCUCUUGAAAUUCUUAGUCUUAGAUCCAAUUUAAUAUCUGGGUUUUUUCCAAGUGAUUUUUCCAAUCUAAAAAACUUGUCUUUUCUUUAUCUUCAGUCCAAUAAUUUAUCUGGGCCUUUGCCUGAUUUCUCAGUUUGGAAGAAUCUUACUGUUGUUAAUUUGUCUAAUAACAAAUUCAACGGUACUAUUCCGCUUUCGCUUUCUAAUUUGACUCAGCUUGCUGGUUUGAACCUUGCAAAUAAUUCCCUUUCUGGUGAAAUUCCUGAUAUUCAUUUCUCAAGGUUACAGGUGCUGAAUUUGUCUAACAAUGAUUUACAUGGUACUGUGCCUAAAUCUUUACAAAGGUUUCCUGAUUCAGCGUUUGUUGGGAAUAACAUUACUCUCAGAAAUUUUACUGCCGUUUCGCCUGUGCUUUCGCCGGUUUAUGAGCCUUCUUCGAGGUCUGAGAAACGUGGGAGGCUAAGUGAAACAGCACUGCUGGGAAUUAGUAUUGUUGGCAGUUUACUUGGGCUUGUAGCAUUUGGUUUUUUGAUGUUUGUUUGUUGCUGCUCUAGAAAAAAGUAUGAAUUUGAUGAUGAUGCAUUUGUUGGAAAGUCGAAUAAGGGAAAAAUGUCUCCGGAAAAAGCAGUUUCGAGGAACAUGGAUGCUAAUAAUAAACUGACUUUCUUUGAGGGAUGUAAUUAUGCAUUUGAUUUGGAAGAUUUGUUGAGAGCUUCUGCUGAGGUGCUGGGAAAGGGAACGUUUGGUACUGCUUAUAAGGCGAUUCUUGAGGACGCGACUGCGGUUGUUGUGAAGAGGUUGAAGGAAGUAGCCUUUGGAAAGAAGGAUUUUGAGCAAUAUAUGGAGAUUGUUGGAAGUCUUAAACAUGAGAAUGUAGUUGAGCUCAAGGCAUAUUACUAUUCCAAAGAUGAGAAACUUAUGGUAUAUGAUUACUACAGCCGAGGGAGCGUCUCUUCUUUGUUGCAUGGUAUGUACCUUUAUUUUAACCAAUUGCAAUUUCAUAUGUCUACUAUAGUUGAAUCAAAUGUAAAUAGAUAAAUAUGUGCUUAUUUCAUGUCUAUGGCAAUGUUUUGCAUGAAAAAAAGGGUGUUUCUAAUCUCUUGCUUGUUUAAGUAGCUUGCUGUACAUGUUCAAUUCUUUACUAGCUUAGUUGUUGUAGCUACUAACAAUUGAAUGGGCACUUUGGCAGUAUGAACUUUGAAGUUUGAAAAUGUAGUUGGUUUACAUGUUAGUGUUUUCAGAAACAUUAGGAAUAUUUACAUUUUAGGUCACAAUAUCAUGAAAAUGGAUUUGAUGUGGUUGUUUGUCACUCUAGUAAGUCAACGAUCUCUGCAGUUGAUGAAGAUAGGAUGAUUGAAUUCUGAGUACUCAAUUUGUCGAAGUGGCGAUAUGAAUUACUUGAUUUCUAAUCAACGACUUAAGUUGACUGACUGCAGUGACUGUGGGAAACAUGAUUGCUGAUGUUUCAAUUUCUGAUUGCUAACUGUACUAGUAUUAAUUUAAUGCCUCCAUGAUAAUAAACAUCAUGGAAGUUCACAAUCUUACAUAGGGUAUACAUGAUACUCAACAUUUUAUGUUUUGCUAGAGAAAUAAAGAUAAGUUUUUCAAUAAAUGGAAACUUGUCAUAAAAAUGUUAAAUUAGUACAUCAAACAAAUUACUCAAUGUCUUCAAUAUAUUCUCCUCAUUAUUUUGCUUUAUGAGAAUUUCAGGGAAAAGAGGAGAGGACAAGGUGCCAUUAGAUUGGGAUACUCGGUUGAGAAUAGCUUUAGGUGCAGCAAGAGGCAUUGCUCAAAUCCAUGUCGAGAAUGGCGGUAAACUUGUCCAUGGCAACAUCAAGUCCUCAAAUAUCUUUCUCAAUACCAAACAAUAUGGUUGUGUAUCUGAUCUUGGUCUAGCAACCAUAUCAACCUCGCUUGCCCUACCCAUCUCACGUGCAGCUGGUUACCGAGCACCUGAAGUUACAGACACAAGGAAAGCAGCACAGCCUUCUGAUGUUUACAGCUUUGGUGUGGUAUUACUAGAGCUUCUGACCGGGAAAUCGCCUAUCCACACAACUGGUGGUGAUGAGAUUAUUCACUUAGUGAGAUGGGUUCAUUCAGUUGUACGAGAGGAGUGGACUGCCGAAGUGUUUGACUUAGAGUUGAUGAGAUAUCCAAAUAUAGAAGAAGAGAUGGUCGAGAUGUUGCAGAUAGCUAUGUCAUGUGUUGUAAGAAUGCCUGAUCAGAGGCCUAAGAUGUCAGAAGUUGUGAAGAUGAUAGAAAAUGUGAGACAGAUUGAUAAUACACAGACUCAGCCAUCAUCUGAGAAUCAAGGAGGAGUUAAAUUAUCAUCUCAAACUGAUUAUGAUAACAUUAACUCCCCUUCUUCCACUUCAUCCCCCUUACCAAAAGGAAGUGAAUGAAAACAAAGUAAAGUUGUAGCCUUUUAUUUCAUUUGAGUGUAUCUGUUCCACGUUCUUAACAAGAGCAAGAUGAUUAACUACUGUUAUUUUUGUCAUUUUUUUUUAGCUUCCUGAAUUAGCACCACCUUGGUGCAAUAGUCAGGUUUAUUACAAAUUACAAGCAAGCAUUGCUUUGUAUGUUUGUGUUUGUGUGGAGAUGAAUUAAAACGUGAAGCAUUUUUCACCCAAGCCAAACAACAUACUAAGAACUUAAAAUUUUCCUGUGUAUAUCAACCUGAUCUGAUGUGAUCUUAUCUUAUGUGUGGAUUGAUGGUAUAUGUUGUUGGAACGAAGUGGAAUAAUAUGAAUUGAUAUAACAUUAUAUUUUUAAAAACUUAACUCCAUCAUAUACCACUAAUUCAAACAUUCACGUGAUCUGGGCGUAGUAAUAUCACGGUGUCAUUGCAGUAUAUUCCUUGUCGUUUCUUUGGUAAAUUAAAUUUUGUAAUUUUUUUAUGUAAGCAUUUUAGAUGACUGCAUUGAAUGCUGCAAUUGUUAUUGAUUCUACUUGUUAUUAUACUACCAAACGAAUUCACGUGUUCGAACCUUCUCCUGUCUCUCAUUACACCCAAUUUUGUUGGCCAGUAUAAGUCUUCAGAAAUGGACAUAACAUACAGUUUACAUAGUAGUUUGUAUUUUUCUGGUUUCGACAUUUAUUCCAAUGGACCAGUGCCUAAAGACAAUGUCUCAUUAGAAAGAGACAAUUAGAAAGAGACAAUUGUGGGCAUACCGGUGAACUGUUUCCUCAUGCCAUUCAUUUUCUUUCAGAUUACUUGCUAUCUAAAAACAUGUUUUGGUGUGUUUCUUCACAAAGAGAGAUAUAUAAUCUGUUUCACGUGUUUAGAAGCUCACCUUAAUAAUGAUAAUCUCAUUGACAUUUUUGUUGGGUGCUCUGGUAUGAAGUUAUUUUAAGCUAUUGAUCAUAGUUUGUAGUUUGAGCAGCAACGGAGCAAUCUGGGUUCACAACGGAAUGUGAAUUAGGAUGAAAUGCAAUUUUCACUAGUUAACCAAUGACUAGUUUCUUGCACUAGAAAUUUCACAAGUUAUGAAUCUCACUCAAUCAUUAGUUUUAGAUUAAAUGACUCACAUAACACAACUGGUCAAUCAAUUUUAAAGGAUCUUGACUAUCAAUUUAAAUUAGACAAUCAAGAUCUAUAAUUGUGUCAUGCAAUUAUAACAGUAAAUUCAUUUUCGAUAGUGUGAUGAACAAUCUAAUAAUGCACAUGUCAUCAUUGUUUAUGUGAACUACUCAUAUUAUAUUAUGUGGUUCUAAAUGUUAUGUAUUAUUUUAAAUAAUUUUAAGGUUAAAUAUUGGCUUCUUUUUAAAAUUUUAAAAAUUCAAUUUUAAUCCUUUUUUUUUAUUUUAUUUUGAAAACUCAGUAUCCGAUCCAAUUUUAAUCCUUAUUAUUUCACUAAUUUUAAUCAUUUCUAAAAUUCUUAAAAUUGGAUUCUCAUUCCACCAAGCCUAUGCACCAUCAAAUCAACUCCAUCCACCUUAAGCUAUGUUUGAUUUCACGGUACAAAGACAACCCUUGCAUCCCUAUGUAUGUUUACUGUGAGUUUUAUGAAACUGGAAUUUGUAGAGGUUGCAAACGCAGACGUGUGAACAAACACAUACUUAACAUGUUUCGGUUCACCUUCAACUUGUGCUCAAUCAAUACUCUCUUAUAAGUUUUUUUUUUACAAGACUCUUAUAAGUUUUUUUGUUUUGUUUUGAGGGAAGACUCUCUUAUAAGUUAAAUGCUGGUUUUUUCUUGAAAUUUUUUAAAGAAAAAUGCAAGUGAGUGUCUUCUUAGAGCAUUGAUUAAGAAAAUAAUUUUUUUUUUUUAAGAAACUAAAAUGAGAUAUAUUACCACAACAAAGGCCUUCCUAGUACAAGAUGUGCAAAGGAAUAAAAGCCUUACAAGACAACGGUUCAAAAAUUGUUGCACCAAAAAUACAAAAUUUACUUUUAUUUUUUUAACUAAUAUCCUUGGAACAAUUGUUAGCACAAAUCACAAUCCAAUUUUGAUUACUUUUUAUUUGUCGUUUUUAAAAUAAGAAAUAGUAUCAGCCAUUUCUUUGUCAAAAUUAUUUAUUGCAUAGAAGUAAAUUCUUGAAAUGAAAUAAUGAAUAAUUAAAAGUAUUAGAGACCAAUAAUUCCAUUCAAAAUAACAAUAUUUAUUAACUUUAAAAUGAUAAUUAAAAAAUAUUGUAGGAUUUUUUUAUUAGAGUUGUGGUGUUGGGGAAAAUAAAUUAGUUGAAGGAUGCACAAUAGUGACUUGUGGUUGGUUGAAGGUGUGAUACUCGAGUGAUGGUGAGUGUAAAGGAUGGUGGAAUAUGAGGGAUGGUUUUAGAGACUUUAGAAAGGACUAAAUCUAGGUAAAAAAUUAAGAACUAAAUUUAAAUUUUGAGCUCGUAACAAAUUGAGAAUUUUAUUGGAACAAAAAUUAGAUUUAACCUAAUAAUAUUUGGGCCGUACGUAGCACAUACACAAUUGCCACGUUAAAUGGGUAGUUCACACGUUUUUGUUUUUGUGAGCUUAACUUAAUUGGUAGGGAUAUUGCAUAAUAUAUAAUAUAUAUAGGAAUCGGGUUUUGAACCUCGGACACCCCACUUAUUUGUUUUAAAAAAGUAAAUUGUUUAUAACUAGACUAAAUUCGACCAAAAAAUUCACCUAAUGAUAAAAAACGGAUAGUUGCAAACAUAAUUUUAUUUUGACUCGUUCAAAAAGAAGUUGUUUUUUCUUAUAAACACAACACUCAUUAUGCGACAGAGUGAACAUAUUUUUAUAAAAAAUAAAAAUAAAAAAAAAUAAAAAAAAACUUUUUUUGCGAUGCCGAUGAUCAUGUUUGAUUUAGGGAAGUUCUAUUUAACACGACACCUAAACACACGAGAUUCGACGACAAGCAAAUUAAAGGAUGGAAAAAAACCGGAAGAUAUACUAAGUACAACAAAAAAAAAAGGAAAACAUGUUGAUGAAGUGAUUUAAUGCUUCUUGGCACGAUGGCCAACAAGCACGACACACACACACACACGACAAUUUAAAACCGUUAGAUCACCUCAUCAACAUGUUUUCCUCUUUUUUUUUUACUUAAUAUAUCUUCCGUUUUUUGGUCAUCCCUUUAAUUUGCUUGUGGUCGAAUCUCAUGUGUUUAGGUGUCGUGCUAAAUAGCACUUCCCUUGAUUUAAUUAGAACUUUUUUUAAAAUAAUUCUAUAAGUUUCCUCCAAUGAAGAAGGUAGUUCCAUUUGAGAUGUUGAGGAAUAAAUAUGAGUAUCUCUCAAACAAAAAUUAAAACUAAUUUAAUUUAAUUAAUUAAUUUGCUGAUAUAUAAAUAUACUGGCAUUUUUUUUCUUCAUCCACGUCUGCCCCUCCCUAAAUUCGUCGCAGACAAUGAUGUCAUAUAUCUCCCUUUUUAUAUCACUUUCAAUGUAUUUUUAUAAUGGCAAAGAAAUUCAUUUCAUUAAAAAUUUAAAGGAUCAAUGGUAUGCCAACAUAAAAAUGAUAAUAUUUGGCAUUAUAUAUGGUUUCCUUAGCGAAGAUUAUAAGCAACCAUUUCAUUAAACUACGCUUACAAAAUAAAUCGGUCUCCAAACAAUAAUUUAUUUAUUUUAAUGACAAAUGUUUGUUAAUGGAGUUGAACACAUCCUUGAAAAAAAGGAGUUGAACACAUGAUUUUCUUAUCAAUCUAACCCUACACAAUUCUUAGUAGAUUUUCUAGCGACCUGUUUUACGCUUAUAAGGAAGGAAAUGACAUAUGGGGAUUCGAUGAUUUCCAAGUACACUUUGAAGAUGUAUGUCAAAAAACAAAUAAUUUAUCAUGGGUAAUUACUAUACCUUUGAUAUAUGAAUGAAGUUUAAUAUAUCAAGUUGCAAACCAACGAGUACUGCAAGCUGUUGGAAGAACAGAAAGCCGAAAAUAUUAUUCUACCAUAUGCCUUUGUUGUCGAACCCUCACUGAGAAGUUACAUGGAUCAUGAAAGGAUUACAAGAAUCAGUUGAAACAGAAGUAAUCACCAUUGAUAAAUCUUAUCACAAAAAAGGCUUAACAAAAGAGGUAAGAUCACAUACCAUGCGACAAUUAUGUUCCUCGUGUUACUAUGGCCGCCUUUGUGGUAAGCCAGGUCAUCAUGCACCUCAGUGCAAACAUCGCAAGAGGAAAGACAAUCCUCUUAAAGCUAACUUGACUGAAUGAGGUGACACUAUUGAUGUGGUUAAUUAUAAAUUGUUUGGAAUGGGAGCUGGGAGGUGCAUGAUGAUAUGGAUUACCACAAACAUAACUAAUUUUCUUUUGCAGGUGAGAUUAAUAACAUGAGGAACAUAAUUGUUAUUACUAUUGUGAUUAGGCUUGUGAUCAUAACUCUUUUUGUGAGAAUUAUUAUGAGUCUUCAGAUUUUCUUGGUAGCUAAAGCCUUCGCCUUGACAGCCUUGCUCUUCUUUCAGUUGGUACCUUCGAAACUCACGUGGAAAAUAAUAUUUUUCAUGUUUGAAUUCUUCCAACAGUUUGUGGUAAUUGUUGAUUGACAUCUUCAUUGUUUAAGGCGUGAUCAUUUUCAGCGUAAAACAUUAACCACGGGAUUUAAUACACCCUUCUCAAUGAAACCGAUAAAACAUAACUGGUAAGAAUUAAUAAUCUUUUAUCAAGAAAAUGAAACUCGGAAUUCUGUGUAUCGGUAGUGAAAAUUAGUAUGUUUUUUUGGUUCAAAUAGUAUGCGACUCCAAGCAUAAAGGUGAGUAGCGUGCGUAUAAAAUAUGUGGCAGAUUAUGAGUGAAAGGCAUUUUUGAAUGUUUCUGAUUGAGAGGUAAAUGAAUGAAACAUUGAAACUGUUUGUAUACACAUACAGAUUUAGUUUUUGAAUGUGCCACUCAUAGCACAUAUCCUUUUUGAUAUGCAUGAGUAGAGAGGCUGUUCCUAGAAUCACAUUUAAGCCAAAGACUAAGCCCUCCCUUUUCAAAGGUAAUUUCUAUUCCAUGGAUAGCUCCCGUAAUCUUAGCAAAUAAUGUAUUAUGAUUAUGAUAACCCGAAAAAGCAGCAAAAUAGCCGAAAAUGGAACAGAAAAAUACCACCACAAGCAAAAAGACCCAGACAACCCCUAGUUGAUCCAACAAUGUUACAUUUAAUCACAUAGCAAGAAGGGAGUUGCCAAUUCACCUGCAUAAUUGUGGUAAGCAAGGAGCAUCUUAGUGUUUGCAGUGAAGCUCAUCACGCCGCAUGACGUUUGUGCUAAAAAAAAUUCUAUUAAUUCUCCAGGGAUGAAUCAAAAAGGAAAUCUUUAUUGAUUCCACCUUCACUUUUUUACAAAGAGAAUGAAUCUUUUUAUCCAAACAAUACUUAUGAGGAAUCAAAAAAUAUUCUUAAUCAUAAACAUAUAAGGAAAUACACGAACUUUGAAAGAAAAAAAACAAAGAUAACUUCUUUAUAGGUGAAGAGAAGUUUUCAAUUUCAUAUGCAGGAAAGUCUGUCAUUAUUAAUCUUCUAAAUCAUAAUGGAUUACAAUAAGUUAAGCUACAGUGGUGUUAACGAAAUUUGGUCUUUCUUUAGACAACGCUACUCAUAUUUUUGACUAUGUUCCACAUUUUAUUUUCAAUUCUGUUUUUUUUUUUUUAGAGAAUUUUCAAUUCUGUUGUUGUUGAUACUUCAGUGUUUUGUUUGUCGGCCCUUUUGUAUCACCAAAUAAAAAAUAAAUAAAAAACUCCCUCUCCAUUCCAUUUAAAGUAUUUUCCGGGGAAAUUGUUUCCAUUUACUUGUUCAUUUAAAAAUUUAACGCAACAUCAAUAUUUUUUUUUUGGUCUAGACAUCAAUUGUUAUUUUAUCAAUAAUAUUAUUAUUUUUAGGAGAUUUUAUCAAUAAUAUUGUUAAUUAUUUAUCAUAGAGAAAAAUAGAUAAAGUAUGAUAUUAAUCAUUUAUUAAUUGUAACUUAUUUUUAAUUAUUGAUCGUAGAGAGAAAUAGAUAAAGUAAGAUGUUUGAGUUUUAAAAAAAAAAAAUAUAUCAACAAUGUUAAUAAUGGAAGAUAUAUUAUAUAUAAAAAGCUUAAUAAGUUGGUGGUAAUAGACUUUUAGUAAGCUUUAGCCUAUCUUAUUUAAUUAAAUAAACUUUAUAAAAAGCUUGAGCUCAACCUUUGAGUACCGAGUUAGGCUUUAAAUAGGUCAGAUGGUAGGCUUCUGUUGGACGGUCUGAUCUGUUUCCACCGAUAAACGGAGUCACUUAUUAAUUGUCUUGAUAUAUUUUUUUUUAAAAAGUACACCAUCCUUUUGAGUGCUUGCAAUUUAAAACCCGAAAUAUACAAAAUAUUAAAUUACUCCCUGAUUUUUUUUUUUUGUGUCCAUCAAAAUGCUCUCAUCAUCAAAUAAUUUUAUAAGAAGUGAUAAGGCAUCACAUUAAGGGACAUUAUGGUUUGUCACAAAGUGAUCACACAUCACAGAACCCUACAUGUAAUUUCUUAUUUGUUAAAAAAAUGAAUUUUAUGUGUAUUGGAUAAAAAGUAAAUUAAGUUUUUAACUGGUAUGAAACUUACAUUUAAUAUUGUGUGACGUGAUAUUAUCUUUGACAAACCAUGGUGUCUCACUGUCACUUGAACACUAUGGUGUCAUUUAAACACACUGAUACCUCUAACAAACCUAUUAGACGGAUGAAAUAUUUGAAUGAUGUUAAAUAAUUUGGAGAAUAAUUUAUUUGAUAUUUCAUAAUUUUGGAGUUACAAAUUUAUUGAUAGUUACAAGUUUACGAUCCAAAAUUGCAGUUUACUUGUUUACAAAUUUAUUUUAGUAAAAUAAAAAAAUUAUUUUUGUAGCUUCCCUCAAAAAAUUACUAAAAGAAAAAAGGACAAUGUACUUUUUUUUGGGUACAACGGAGAAUGUACUUUACUAUGCAGUUGUAGUAAUUUUGAAUACUCUUAUGAUCGAUUAGCACAAAUAAUUUAAUAAAAUGUUAAGAGUGCAUCAUUAAGUCAUUUUCUUAAUACCAUUACAUUUUUUUUAAUUUGUUGAAAAAACCUUGUAACGACAAUUGAUACUAGAAAGAAAACUUGAUAAUUAAAACAAGCAAAAUGUCAAUCAAUGUACAUGAGAAUAAGAAUUAUUUGAACUUGUGUAAUCAAAUAUUUAAGGGUUAAUUAAGUUUUUAGUCCCUAUAAAUAUUCACAGUUUUGUUUUUAGUCCCUACAAAAUAAAAUCACACUUUUUAGUCCCUGUGACAUUUUCCUUAAGCAUUUUAGGGAUUAAAAAUGUUGAUGGAAAUUUUUUAUAGGGACUAAAAAUGCUGACAGAAAAAUUUAUAGGGACUAAAAACACUAACGGAAAAUUUUGUAGGGACUAAAAAAUGUGAUUUAUUUUUAUAGGGACUAAAAACAAAAUUACAGAUAUUUAUAGAGACCAAAAACUUAAUUAACCCAAUAUUUAAAACUGUAAAAAAUAUAGUUUUCAAUAUAAAAUUUACUCUCUCUGUUUUAAAUUGAGUGUUGUUUCUAUAAUAACUAAUGUCUAAGGCACCGGUUAGCACGGCCUUAGAACAAUGGUCUAAUAAAAAACACAUAACAAAGCAUAUCUAAACAUCAGCAAGAGCAUCCGGCAUUGGUCAUAGCAUUCGUUGACUUCAACAAUAAUAAAUUGAACAAUCUACAAAUGCGUUUAAUUGAUUUAAGUAUCGAGCAUCGAAGCUUCCUUCCCUUUUGUGGCUCAAGGCAUGCUUGCAAGUACGCAACUUGCUUUGAUCAUAUCGCAGUCCCAUUCUUUUUUUAAGUGAAAGUUGCACGGAAUCAAACUAAACUAGUAUUUGUUAUUGGUCUCAAGUUAAAUUUGAAAUUUGAAUAGAUUGAGUUCGAAUCUUAACUAAUACUAGUAGUAUUAUGAAUACAAGUGAAUCGUUUAAGUUUGACCGCCUCAAUGUUUUAUCAACCUUAAAAUUAAGCUCGAUUAAUCAAAUGUUCAAUCAAGUUCCUAAACUUGCAUUGACAUAAACAAGGAUUCUUGAAUGCGACAAUGACCGGUACGGUGCAAGUCAUGCACACUUCAACAAGAAUUGCUACCAACCUUUAUUUCUUGAAGACCAACUCAAGUCUCUCAUUGCUUCAAUAAUCUUAACAUGGUAGUAUAAAUUAGCCAUGAUAAUUAUCUCUAAAUAAUAAUCAACAUAUACAUAUCCAUAUAAACAACAAUUAAAUAUAAGUAAAAGAGAAGGUUCAAUGGACUUACCUGUUCUUAAUAUUUUUGUAUAAUUAGGAUCCUGACAUGACUCUAUCAAUAUUCUUCACUAACAACUCAUAUCUAACCUGCAAAAUAGUAAACAGUUAUGUAAUUAUAACCUGAGGCGUGAUGAAGUCACUAUCCUUAAGGAUUUAUCCGUCUCAUAAUCGCACAGUUUAAAUUUGAUAAACAUGUAAAAUGUAACAUAGGAAGAAAAAUUGAGAAGAAAGAAAGAGUUUUUGUGUUGGUGGAAAAGUGGUAUUUUUCUGAUCAGGAAGUGUCACUCCAAAUUGCUAUGAGAGAAAGUAUAUAUUUUUGGUAUGCUUUUGAAGCGUGGUGAUUUCUAAUAUAAAAAGUGUGCUUCUAUUUUUUGACCACAGUAAAAAGCACUUUGUUAUUAUCAUAUAUAUUCCCAACAUAUAUGUGUGAGAACAUGCCACUAAUUCCACAAAAAUAGCAACAUAAAUAAAACCUUUUUUUUCGGUUGAGAAUAUUAAGGUAAGGUUUAAUUGACUAUGUAAGCAUACCGAGUCAUGGUUAGCUCAUUUAGGAAAUGAUAAAAACGUGUGGAACCAUCAUUUUUUGAUUUGAUUAACAUCCUUUUUCCUCUACCCCAUUAUACAUCGGAUGUGAAAAAACAUUUUACUAGAAGAGGACAAUGAAAGAGAGUGUUAGGUUGGGUAGUGAUGAUCAUAUAUCAAAGUUGCGUGUGGUGGUAGAAGAGGUGUGUGCCAUCAAUUGUGAUCAACGUAUCACCACUCUGUUUCAUUGCUAUAAUACCAAAUCAACCAAUCACAAUUAAAACAAAAGUAAGAACAUCCUUUCAUUGGGAUGACAAACCUCUAUUCCAAAAUAUUUAUAGAGUCCAAAGGGACACUUACAAAAUACAUGCAAGGAUGUUUCUUUUUUAAUAAACCAAAAUUAAAUAUAUUAAUCCAAAAUCAUCUCCCUAGCACAAGAAGACAACCCAAACUAAGGUUAUUCACACCAAACCAUCCAUGAUAAAAAAACAGAAAAUAAACAACCGCUAAGUGAUUAAUAUCGAAUACUAAACAUUAGUUACAAGUUUCCAUCCAAAAAAAUGACAAAGAUUUAACCUUAUCAAACAAUUUACCUGAUAUUUCAACCUUUUGUCUAAAGCAAAUCAUAUUAGACAAUAAACACAAGCAAGCCAUAUAAUGUGCAUGAUCUUAUUUUGGAUAUGGAUCCUCUGCAGUGGCAGGACGUGCUGCUGUUGUGAUUUUGUGUGUGAGGAGAGAGAAAUCAUAAAUAAAAAGGGAAGAAGUAAUAAUGAGAGAGAAAUCAUGUGAGAGAUAGGAACAUAAAAAGGCAGCAGGGAGUGCAGGAGAGAAAGUGCUGCAGAUGAUCCAAUUUCUCUUAUUUUUCUAGAAUAGCCACUGGCCACAGCUGCAGAGAGAUUGUUAUACAAUCAUAAUUUCAAAGAUUUUCCCAGGUGAGAAAUUUAUUAGACAAUAAACACAAGAGUGUCAAAAAUUUCGAAGAGAAAUCACAAACCAACAUUCAACUAAUUGUAUUUCUCAAAAUAUCAUUUAUCUUCAUUCAAUUUUCAAUUGAAAUUUAUUUAUGUAGAUGAAAAUGAACAUAGUAAAAGAACUAGUCUUACAUAGACACAAUCACCAAAUAUAAUAGUGUUUGCUUAUAUUCAAGUAUAGAUCAUAAAAAAUAGAAUUUAACAAAUGUAACUGUUGAAUGUAAUUAAUCGUAUUAUCUAAAAAUCAUACGAACAUCUUUGUUUUUUUGGCAUAAAAUCUUUGUCAUUUAAUCAUUUUUUUACUCAUUCACAUCAAAUGUUAGACAUAUUUGACAUGAGUGAAAAAUAGAUAUAAAUUUGACAUUUUUGCAUUUUUUUAUAAAAUUUAUAUUUGACACUGUACUGCAAUUUUUUUAAGGUUGACAUUUAUAGUUUUUUUAAGGUUGACAUUUGUAGCUAUACAAUCAUACAUUUACCCCUCAAGAAAAAAAAAAUCAUACACUUAGUAUCAAAUUGCUCUUGAUUUUUAUUUUUAUUUUAAUGGUUGCUCUUAAAUUUCAUGAAAUGUUAACAUUUCCUUUCACCAAAACAAAAAAACUUUUACAGAAAAUUUUCAAUUAGUUGAUGAAAUUCGAGGCAAGUCUUGCUUUUCAGUCAAAGAUUAACUAUCUGAUCCUAACUGUCUCACCUCACGUGAUUGGUAUGCCUUCUGUCCGCUCACGUGUCGUUUUGGUAUUUGCCUUACUACUGCGCCAUAUCGUUUUCGUCUCGUAGUAUCUUCAAAGGAUCAGUCGCUUAAUUGUUUUCUGGUGUAAUAGUUUAUUUGAUCUUCUAAUUAAUUUCAAGUUUUCAUUUUAGUUUUAUAAUUAAUAAAAUUUAUGUUUUGGUCCCUCACAUUUGUUUUCAUCGGUCAAAUAAAUCUUAACCGUUAACUUUAACAUCAAGUGUCUGUGGUGGACCAAUAUUAUAGAUAGUCCACCAUAGAUAUUAUUAAUCUGUCAAUUUUAAUCCUUUGAUUUUUUUUUAAGAGAGGACCGUUUGAUCAUGCAAGUCUAUUGUAUCUUCCAAUGAAUCAUCAACACUUAAUUUUUUUUUCCAUUUCUUGAUCUUCUUCCCCAACUUCUUUAUACAAUCUUCAAGAACAUGCAUAAAAAAAUCCAAAAAGAAAUCCAGAAAAUCAAAAAUCAUUUACAUGUUCUUAAUUCCUCCACCAUUCUCAAUUCAUAUUAUAAAAAUAGGAACAUCAUUAAUCAUUAUUAAAUAUUCUUAAACAAAUUUCCUCUCUACCAUCAAAAUUAAACUCUCCAAUUAUGGAUUCCUUUUCCACGUUCCAGGUUUCCUUUUCAACAUGCAAAACAACCCUUUUUGCUGUUUCAACUUCAUCAAUACCCUGCCUAACAUGUAAAGAUCUAUGAAAUUGAAUAUUCAUUAUCUCUUCAACCACUCCAUCAACACUACUCAAACACUCCACUUCACAACCCAAAUUCAAAAAAUUCAAAACUUAACAACAUAACGAGGGUGGAAGACGGGACGGAGGGGAUCUCGCAUGGAGGUGCGGUGUCACCGGCGGGGUUGAAGGGGAAUUAGCUGUCUUUUUGGUUGGGAUUGAAACGAAUUAAAUCUAAUUGGGAUUAGGUUUUGUUGAUGAAGGAAAUUGAGUGAGAAUUCAAUGGAAUGUGGUAAGGAUUGCAAAAUUUUGUAGGAAACUGAAUCACGGAGAAGAAAAGAAAUAACCGUUUAUUUUUUCAAUUGCAAAAUUGCUAUGGAGUUGAUGGAACAAUUAUAAUUUUGCAGUUAUGUUUCUUUUGAAAAAAUAGGAAUUUCGAUGGAAAGAAUGAUUUCUAUGGAAAAAAUAAGAACGAUUACUAAUUGUUUCUUUGAACAUCCUUUGUGUUUGAUGAUUGAUUCCACGUUUGGAUUCAACCUAAGAAGGAGAAGCUUGGGUUAUUGUUAUUGAUUUGGAUUUUGCAUAUUAUGAAUUAACUAUUUGGAUUUGAUGGAAUUUGUUUUUGGGAUUUUUAUGGUUUUUUUUCUUUUCGAUUUCUUUGAAUGUUUGAAGAGAUGAAGAUCCAGAUUUUUUUAGAAAAAUAAAGUGAGUUUUAAUAUUUAAUAAUUUUCUGGAUUUUUUUGGGUCUGUGUUGAUGAAGGUAUGAAGAUGGUGAUGAAGAUGAUGAAGAGAAUGAUGGAAGAAGAUGAAGAAAGUUGAAAAAAUAGUUGGUGGUGGUGUACAAUUAGAUAUAGUAGACAUGCAUGAUCUAGUGGUAGUAUUUUUAGAAGAAAAAAAAUAUCAAACGGUUUAAACUAAAGAAAUUAAUAAGGUCUAUGGUGGACCAUAGGCACUUGGAGUUAAACUUAACAGUGUGAGAUUUUUUUGACCGACGGAGAAACAAUUAAAGGACCAAAACAUAAGUUUUAUUACUUAUGGGACCAAAAUGAAAACUUAAAAUUAAUUAAAGGACCAAAUGACCUAUUAAGCCUUGUUUUUUCUUUUGUGUACUCAAAAUUGAAAUGAAAUAUUAUAAAGAAAAAUAAAUUUCACCCAAAACAAAAGUGAAACAUAAAUAUUUGAGAAUUGUUGUUUACACUUUACAUAAGGUUGUACCACACGAGUAUUUUACUCUUUUGCCCCCUCGAUAGUUAACUGCCGAGGAAUUUGAAAUCCGGCUGCAGUUAACUGCCGAAGAAAACUAAUUAUGCAGACAGUGGGUUCUGCAUAAUUUUAAACAUUUCCAAGCCAUUUUUUCGGCCAGUUUUUACAUGUAAUUAAACCAGAGCAUUUCCAAAGGCAAAAUAAUUUAUACAAGAUUGAAACUCGAACAUAAACAAGAUAAAUACAAUAUUUUUUACAAUUGUCCAUGAUUAAAUUAAACCGACAUUUGGUUCAAAUUACACAAACGUUUGAAAUUACACAUCAUUAAAUUAAGUCCCUACUUACAUUCAACGCAAUUGCAUAUGGAGCGAAUAUACAUAUAUAAUAUAUUAUCUUCCACCAUAUUCCGAAAUAUAAAUCCGACGUCGCUAUCGUCAUGAAUAAGCCAAGGCAUAUAACUUGUCGUUUUCCAUGCGUAUUCAUCUCUAUCUUCUCCUAGGUCUAUGCAUGGCAUUUGACCAAACAAGUGACGUGUAUAUUGAUUUUCACCAAGAUGCUCAAAAUAAGUGUUAAGUUGUGCCUUCAAAUCGUCAAGAGAGUCCGUCUGCGUUAUCAUAACCUUAACCGUCUUUUUAAACGCAGAGUACCUAACACGCCCUUCAAUUUGUACAACCUCAGACAUGUCUCAAUACCUGUUUUUUUACGUCAAAAGUAUGUUGAUACCUCCUAUGCUUGAUGCUUGAAUGAUUUUAGAUUAAGAAUUGAUGAAAAAAAAUAUUGGAUUUUGGGAUUGAAUGGUGGUAGAAAUGAAGUUGAUGAUGAAAAUAGUGUGUAGGGGGAGCAUGUGGCUGUUUCAUCUGAUGAAACAUUUCCUCAGCAGUUAACGGCAGCCGAAAUUCAAAUUCCUCGACAGUUAUUUGUCGAAGGGGUAAAAUCGUAUUUUACUAGUGUGACACAACUUUAUCAAAUGUGGGAACAACAAUUCUCUAAAUAUUUUGAUAAGUUUAAGUUGGAAAGUUUAAAAAUAGAUAGAGAUGACAUUUUUUUUAUGCUGAGAUGAAAUCUUUCUCAAAAGCAUAUUAAUCUUUUUUUAAGAUUCUUUAAGUUCUUUUUAAAUUUAUUUCAAAAAUAAGUUAUUUUUAUGUUUAAUGUAAAACAAAUGUUAUUUUUAAGUUUCAUUUUUCCCUUUUGAAUUUUUUUCUGCUUGAUUUGUUCUAUAAAUUUAUAAAUCCCAUAAUUUUUUAUGUUCCAUUUUAUUCCCUUAGAAUAUCUUCAAUUAUCUUUUUUAAGGAACAUGCUUUUAGUUUCAAAAGUUGUGCAAUACUUAUAUAUCACGUAUACAUUUUGUUAUAUCUUUUAAAAAAUAAAAAAUACAUUUUGAUAUAUGACAUUCGUUAAGAAGUUUAAAUUGAAAACUUUAUUUCAAAAAUUAUACAUUCAAUAUAUUAAAAUAACAAAAAUUAAAAUUUUUCUACCUAAAUUUCGUCAAUAAUUUCUUAUUUAAAAUCUCUAACAAGUGCUCUUUGCAUAACCCUUUGUUAUAUAAGUAAAAAGAAAAGAUAUCUUAUAUUAAUGAUGAUUGAAUGCCUUGUUAUGUAACCAAACAUCAAUUUUACUAUCUUAUCUAAAAUACAUCUACGAUUUUUACCAUACUCACUUUGUCACGUCAAAUUCCUUCAAUAUAGAUAAAUAAUAAAGAUAUGAUUCGUUCUUAUAUGAAAUUCACUUAGAUAUCUUUAUUGGAGUACUAUAAACGCAUCUGCAACGGAGCUCUCAACUUUUUCUAUUUAAACGAGUCUCACGUAUACACUUGUUUUAUAAUUUAUGAAUGUUACUACGCACUCAAUAUUUCUAACUUAAUUCCUCAACCAAAAAUUAUAAAUGGGAUCCCAUAAGUAAUAUUAUAUCUUUACAUUUUAAUAAAAUUUAUCUAUUUUAAUAUAUAAUUUAUUAAAUGGAGUUCGGAAAAAGUGAAGAGAUAGUUGGUGCUUUUGUAUUCAUCCUUCUCUGUAGAUAACCAAAUUUUAUAGUCUACAAUUAAGUGUCGAUAUAUUUUUUUUUUUUUUGAACAAGUUAAAAUGGAAUAUAUUAGAUCACAAAAAUGGUUCAACUCGCACAAGAUGUGCAAAGGAGAACCACCCAUCAAAGUACACAAUUAUGAAUUUGUUUCCAAAAAAUAAUAACAGAAGAAUGAUAGAAAAAUAAAAACUACACUAAAAGUGAAACAUUUAGUGAAACAUUCAUCGUUAUGGAUGCUUUUAAAUUGUUUACAUUUUAGGUUUUGGUGUCAUAAGUUGUGAAUUCAAGUUUAUUGAACUUUUUAAAGUCAAAAUUUUAUUCUUUUAUAUGAAAAACUUUUAAUUUUAGAUUUCUUAACUUGUGUCAUAAGGGCACAAGAUAAUAAAACCCUAUAUUAAUAUAAGACAAAUCGACUUUGAUAUUUUUUCAAGUUAAACUUUGACCUCUUUUUCAGUGUCUAGCAUUUAUAAUUUAAGUGUAUAACGUGUCUAAAGUUGGUAAUUUAAGGAACCAAUAUGUAUACAUUUCUAUUUUAUGGACCAAAAUGAAAGAAAAAAAAAACACUAUGGACCAAAAUGUCUAAUUUUAUAAGUUAGGAGACAAACACAAAUUAAAAGACUAAAUUGUAACUUAAAAAUAUCUCAAAAGAGACUUAAAAAUGUAAUUUACUAAAGUGAUUAUCAAUUAACCUCUUUAUUUAUUUUUCAUCAAAAAGAUAGAUAAACCACCUUGUUUUUUUAUCGUUACUUUUCUUCCACGUGCAAAUGAAUUCUUUUUUGUUUUAGCAUAUAAACGAAAUGACAAAGUCUUUAUAAACUCACACGCAAGUGGAAGGACCAGAGUUCGAACCCCGAUCAUGGCAUCCGGCCUAAUAAUUUUGGCAUUUUGUCAGUUGAGCUAGGACUUCUGGAAAAUAAAAAUUGAAAAAUGUUACUGCUACUAUAAUUUUGAGAAGAGAAAUGAUAUUUGUACAACUAAUCUGUGACAACUUUUGUACAACUUUAUUUCUGAUACUCAUAUGAUGGUCUUAUCUCUAUCUUCCUAACAAGGUUGUCAUUAAAGUUGUCAUGGAAUGGAUGUACAAAUAUUAUUGUUGUUUUAAGAAACAAUCAAACAAAUGCAUAUUAGUAUGAUCUAACAACAAAAAAAACAAAUGGAUAUACAUUGUUGUUGAAUAUAUCAGCGGGCCAAAUACAAAUAGUAAAUCAAAUAAAAUUAAAUCGUUUGUUAUGAACAAUAAGAAGAAGAUUAUCCGUUCCGUUAUUGAAUAUUCCUAUAAAACAGACAGAUUCCACGUAAUAAUAUCAUCAUCUCUUACUCCCUCACAAAUGCAGAUGCAGACUCAUACUCACAUUUUAUUAGUUCCUAAAUAAAAUUGAAUUGAACAAGUCUUUAGGAGAAAUUAUAGCAAUUUUGAUUUUUAUUUGAUUUGGGUGGCAAGUCAUUCAUUCUCUCCCUUUAAAACGUAAUUUUCUACUACCGUUUCCGUCAAAUAUCUCAUUCAUUCAUUAUUUUCUUUAUAAAACAGUAUUUAAUCCCAUGUUCUAGUUCUUGCUACAUUUCACUCUGACUGACAUUACACUCUCUCCUUUCCUUUUCUCUUUUUUCCCCUUCUUUCUUUCUUUCUUUAAUUCUCUUUCCCCUCCCCCCCCCACCCUUGUCAGUUUCCAUUUCUCCAACAAUUUCUUCCUUUUCUCUCUCUUCUUUCACCAACUUCAUCAAUUCAACAUUCAAUGUUAAUAUUGCUGUCUCCAACAACAUGCCCAAACAACCUUCUACACCUCCUCCCAUUCCCAACAUCAUCAAACACACUCAUCACUUCACACAAAUCAACAACAUCAUGCCAAAAACUAUACAAAUACGUUACACCGACCCUGACGCCACGGAUUCUUCUUCUGACGAAGAAGAAAAUCCAAUACAUUCCAAUAUUACCCCUCGCCGCAGAAUCAAAACUUUCAUCCACGACAUUGUGAUCGAAAAAGAAACCAUUUCAAAUAAAAGAAAAAACCCUAACACCAGAGUUAAAACCAAAACUCCGGCGACUCAACGGCGGCCGGUGAUUUACACCGGGAAGAAAUAUCGUGGAGUGAGACAGAGACCUUGGGGAAAAUGGGCGGCGGAGAUAAGAGACCCCAAACUCAAAUUUCGACGGUGGUUGGGAACUUACAACACUGCUGAAGAAGCUGCUAUGGAGUAUGAUAAAGCCGCCAUUGAAAUACGUGGUGCAGACGCGCUUACGAAUUUCAUUCAACCCACGACAAAGAAGGUUGUUAUAAACUCCAGCAGCGAUGAAUGCGUUGUUUCUGCCACGUCAGUACUUCAAUGUUGUACUUCUUCCUCAGAAGGAGGUGAAUCCGUAACAGUAAAAGACAAUGUUAUCGUUCCAAUGAGUACUGAAUCUUUACGUGAAUGUGAAAAUGAAUGUUCGUCUGUGUCUGGGAAUUUGUUUGACAAUGAUUUAGUAAAAUCUGAGUCAGUUUUUCCGAUUCCUAAUGAUACGUUAUUUGAUGAGUUUGGAAACAUGUUCUUAUUCCAUGAUGAUUUGAGUGGAAGUUUUGUCGAUACUUCGAUUAAUAGUUUGGAUUUAGGUUUCACAGAAUGGAACAGAGAUUAUGGUGAUUUCCAGGAUAUUGGGGAUUUGUUUGGUUCGGAUCCUGUUACUGCUGUUUUGUUUGAUGAAGAAAUGAGCCAAGUUUUGUAACGGUAGGGAGGAUUAAGUUGUAAUCAGUUUUUGUUUUCAUUAGUAGUAUGAUAGUAUUUUAAUUUGUAAUGAGAGAAUUUAUGUUUGUUAAUUAAUUAUCAUGAGGUAUUAGAAGCAACGUUGUUGGCUGUUGCAUUCCAUUAAUAUUGAGUAAGUAACUGAUACUGUUCUAUAGUAGUAGUAACAUAAUUGCUGCAUCCAUUUAAUAAUGUUGUAUCAAUAACAGGAGUAAGUAACCGACUACCACUAUGGUGUUUGUCAAAGAAACUACUAUAAGGUUAUGUUUGGAUUGAGGGAAGAGUACGAAGCAGAGCGGAAUAGAAUGGAGUGAAAUGGAAGGAAUAAAUUAUAACAUAUUUAUAUCAUUUUUACCCUUGUUUAAAAACACACUAUAUUAUUAUGUAAAACAUCUUAUUGCUAAAAUCUUAUUUCCUUGAACAUAAAUGGAAUAAAAAACCGAAAAAUUGAAAAUAAAACUGGAAAUGUCAUCCUAAUUUAAAAAUAAAUUUAUAUUUUAAUCAAAUAAAAUCUCUAUACAACUUGACAAAAAAAAUAAAAAUUCAAACCACACAUUCUUGUAUACCAAUCGAAUUUGUCUUAAAAAAGUAUACCCAUAAAAACUCGAUUAAAAAAUAAAGUUAUUGAAGUCGUUGAUCCUACAUAUCAACUACUUUAUUGAGAAAAAUAUAUAUGUGCUACUUCGUCUACCAUUUUGCACAUAUUGGCAAACACAAAAAUUACGACUCUGAUCAUUAUUCGGAUAAGUCGUUGUAUAUUUUGCCUACAGUUAGCUCGUGUUUGAGGUUCAAGGACAUAUAAGCAAGCUUUAUGUUCAUUGAAGAAGCUUAUAACCAUGGCAUGCCGAAUUAAAAACGAGAAAGAAUGAUUUUUUUUUUUACAGUAGAGAAAGAGUGAGUUUGAGAGAAAGAGUCAAUGGUAUAAAGAUAGGGGUAAAAAAAAUCAUAUUUUUAUCACGAAGGAGAUUCAAUUGGGAGAAAGUCAUAUUUCUCAUGUCCCUCUUCUUUUUUUGUGACCAAAAGGGAAAAUCAACAACGUUAUCUACUAACAUAGCAAAACAAAUCAACAAAGUUAAAAACCUCAAGGAAACACAAUCCCAAAAUUAUCUACUAACAUAGCAAAAUAAUUGAAAUAUGCCAGUAAAUUAAAAACCGAGCUACUCCAUUGGGAGUUAGACCAUGUUUUGCAAACGCGUCAGCAACUUGAUUUGCCUCUUUAUAAGUGUGAGAGAAUAAUUAUCAGUGUCACGUUUACUCUUAGGAAUGUCAGCAACAAAAUUAUAGCGGUGAUGACUAAUAGGGCAGCCAUAUUUAAUCAGGUUGAUCGUUUAUCACUUUUAAUAAAAUUCAUCGAAAUAAUAAAAUAAACUCGUCCACAUUAAAUAUUUCAAUCUCGACUCAGCAAUUUAAUUAUAAUAAGAAAUUAUCAAAUGAGGGUGUAUGCAAGACAUAUAUGUUAGUUCAACAAAAAGUAAAUGGGAUUUGGUAAAUUAAGAAAUUAAAGUGAUAAGUUCUUUCGAAUCGAUUAACUUUAUUUGUUUGGUAAUUGUACCAAUUUUCUACAAGAUUUCGUCUAGUAUCACAAUAAAUUAAAAAAAUGGUUCAUAUCAAUCUCUUAACGUAAAACCCUCAAAAUUUAUAUUUAAUUCACGUUUUCUUAAAAAAUUCUAUUUUUUAUUUUAUUUUAUAUAUUCUUACUUAUUUCCACAAUGAAAAUGUCCAUGCAUGAAGGAAUAGUGUAAAAAUUGAGAGGAGUAAUGUGUGAAUAAAUGUCAUCAAAAGUUCAAUACAUGAAUAGUGUAAAAACUUGAGAGGACUUCUAACAUAAAUGGAUCUCUUUCUCUAUUUGACUUAUCACACAUAUAUAUAUAUAUAUAUAUAUAUAUAUAUAUAUAUGAUCUAGUUGAAUUCAUCAAAAGCUCUCAUUUAAUAUACAGUAGUCUGCAUCUCCCGCUGGUUUUAUAAAUACCGUCUUUUUUAUAUCAUCAUAUCAUAUAAUAUAAUGAUUAAGAUGAAAUAGAGAUUGUAUAACUUCGAUUAUAAAAAGGGUCAGGGACGCAGCUUGUUGUCUAUUUAAAAUUGUACAUGAGAUAUGUGAGAAAGAGUCGUCAAUAUCUGGUAUAUUAAGGAAGGCAAUACAUGAAGGAGUAUUAAUGCAGCUGGUUUCAUAAAUUGAGGAAAAAGCUAGGCUUGGCCCGCGCACGGAUCGAUCGAGUGAGUACUGUCCUUAUCAUAACUAUGAUUUUUCGAACCACACUUGGCUCCCCAUCGAUUUGAGAGUACUACUGAACGAGGCACUUCUUUGGCACCUUAAACAGAUUUGGUCCCCACCUUAUAUUUAUACUACUCUUACAGUUAGGUAUAUGUCCCUAACUCUCUGCAUUUUUACAUGUUAAUUUGCAUUUAAUUAACAUCAUCAUUGAUUUCAAUAUCAUAUUCAUGUACAUACAUGUACAAUCAAUAUCAAUAAUUCAUUACGCAGAACUUUGUCCCAAAUUAAACGUAUGUUCUUUCUAGCGACAAAAAAGGCCACAUCUACCCCAACGAUACUCAUAAUAUUUCUCCGCAUGCAAAUUAACAAGAAAAGUAUCUUGCUUGCUCUGCUAUCUGUUGAAUCACAUGAUAUUCGUACGUUUAUUACUAUCUUGAUAGACCGAGAUGGUUUGCCGAAUUGAAGCAAUGCUCCGUUAACACAAGGAGUAAGACAUUUGAUAUGAAGAUGCGCAAAUUUGUAUUUGUAAUUUCUCACUUAACAUAUGAGUGUGUGUCACCGCGUGCUCUUUAAAAUUAUGAAAAAGACAAUUAAAAAUACAUAAAUAGAGAUUGAGGAUUCAUAUUUCAUAAUACACAAUAGGGGCAAAUUCAAAAUGCCACGCAACUAUAUUGCUUAUGGUACAAGACAUAAACAAAUGGAAAAUUGUGUGCCCACAAUGUACCUUUCUUUUAAGGGCACACAAUAUACCUUAUAUACAAUUGAUGGGCCAAAUAAUAUCAAAACGGUUCAAGCUUAGAUAAAUUAAUAAGAUGAAAUGAUCAAAUCAUUGAACUUUAACCCAAAGUUUUUGGCCUGUCUCACAACGCUUUCCAACAGAGCAGAAGAAAUAAUAGUCCCCAGGCUUGUCCAAAGUAACACUAGAGUUCCCUCUGAAGUAUGUGUAGAUGGUAUCUUUGAUAGUGCAAUGAUCAUAGUCAUCUUUGUAUACCUGAACAACGGUGCUCAUCCCUGGGUUGUAGUUGAAAACUGCAAUUUUUUUAUCUACCUUGUUAAUUUCUAAUAUCAAUUCGGUUAUAUACUUCAAUAGAUCCUAUUAUGCUGGAAUUCAAAGGAGUCAUGUGCGAGAUCUCACAAUUAAAAUUCAUUUACAUAUUUUAUAAAUUGUGUAAUUCAUUAAAUUUUAUCCGUGAGAUCUCAAACAUACUACGUAUGUCAUAUUGAAUUAAUCACAACAUAUACCUCAUGUUUGAAUUGUAGUAUAGCUUGAGUGAAAAAAAUCAUUAUUAGCAACAUGAAUCCAUCCAAAUUUUUGAUAAUUGUGUUCUUAUUGCUUGAAAAUAUAUUUUUUAAUAAAAAGAUUUGAUUUUUUUGUGGUUUUUGGGGUUCGACCUUGCAUAUAUUAUGCAUUGUCCUUAUAAUUAAACUUACGGGAACAUAAAAAAAAAAAAAAAAAAGAAUAAACAUUAUGCCGAGUAAAUAUCAAUAUCAAAUAAUGGAAUUAAGGUGACACAUACGAAGAGUGUCGCCAACGCUGAAGGUUCUGUUCUUGGUCCAGUCAUCGAAAAAUCCAUGAUAUGGAGGUGUACUCCAACCCAAGUUGUCUCCAACAAUGUGAGUUGUUGCUGAAUUUACAGAUACAAAUACAAUGCAACCAAUCAUGGUAAAUAUGAGGAUACUAAGGUGCAUUUUCUCGGCCAUUGUCUUCCCUAGUUAUGUUUCUACUGACUGUCUUAUUCCUUAACUUGUGAUGUUAUUGUUUGUAGAUUAAAUGAGAAGAUGGGAAUGAAUUGAAGUCACUCUUUUAAUAGUGAUCAUCACACAAAAAUUGGCAUUUCCCCUUCAACUUUAAGGAUUUGAAUUAGUCAAACCAAUGCUUAGAAAUGACAAUGGCUCGUUUUCAAGUCUUAAACGAGGAUGUUACCUAUAUUCUUCUGGUUGAAUUGAAGGGAUGUGAGUACUUUAUGAUCCACCCACUAACACAAUAAACACAAUGACACUAUAUUUGGCAAAGUUUAAAUCGGUGUUGUUAUAUUUUAGUAAUAGUUUUAUCACUAUGUGGCAUAUUAACCAAUUAUGUGUAAUUUGAUUUUUUGGUGUAAUUUUGAAAAGUAGUUUGGUAGUAGAAGAUAAAAAAAUAAACAUGCAUGUGUCACAUUUGUUAUACUUGUUUUUUUUUUUUGUCUCAUAUAAAGUGGUAAACGAUAUUGAAAUUAAACUUACACACAACUGUGAGAUUUUGGGUUCGAAUUCGGAUCACGACAUCCGGUCUUGCAAUUUCGACAUUUGUCAGUUGAGCUAGGACUUCUAGACUAUUAUCCUUGUUUUAAUAAAGAUUGUAACUGAACAAGUUAUUAAUUAAUAUUUUUUUAACAAGUUAUUAAUCAAUAUUUUUUCAUUAACACAAUGUGUGAGUUGGUCAUAGAUACUCGAAAGUUAAGGAAUAGGAAAAAAAAAUAGUAGUUCUCGCUUCUCAGGUUGGUGUGAUAAAGUUGUUUUUUAAAAAAGAAAAAUUUAACAUAAGAAAUUGAUAAAAUUAUAAAGUAAUCAAUCUUUUGAUUAAAAUUAUGCAUUGAUACAAUAGGUGAUUGAAUGAUCAAAGUUAAGGAAUAGAAAAGAUUAAUAUCACAGUUGUAGUUAAUAAAACUGUAACCAUUUUGUACCAAAAAAAAAAAAACUGUAACCAUCUUGUUAAUUUUUUUUGUAACCAUUGGUAAAAAAAAAAAAAAAAAAAAAAAACUUGUAACCAAUCAAUUUAUUGAUAAAAAUUUGCAUCAACCCAACAAAUGAGUGAAUGCUCAUACUUAUGGAAUUUAGAGAAAGAAAAUAGUUUAAAGAUGAGUUUGGAAUUUAGUGAUGAAUGUUUUAGAGCGUGACGCUUUGGAUCGAAAAAAUUAAAAUAAAAUGGGAGGAAAUAAACCUAACGUAGUAAAAUAAAUAAAAAAUUCCUUAUGUUAUACCUCCUCUGGUCACUAUUAUAAGCAAAAUUCAACAUUUUAAAUUCAUUCAUUAAAUGAUGUAUGUGGUCUAUAAUACAGACAAUGAACAUCAUUAAUUGAAUGAAUCUAAAAUAUUAAUUUUUGUUUAUAAUAGUGACAUAAUGAUGUAUAGGUUUUUUACCCUUUGAACGGGUGCCAUGUAAUUGACCUUCUUCGACGCAUGUUGUAUAUUGCCUUAGAGAUCACAUAUAUAUAUAAAAGGAGCAAAUAGUCACUUUAGUCCCUGGUUCUGCACCUUGCUGUCACAUAGGUCCCUGACUCAGGAUUAAAUAUAAACAAGUCCCUGACUCUACACUUUCGUUAAAAAAAAUUGUUAAGUGAUGAUGUGGCACGCUGACAAGGAGUAUGACGUGUCAUAGGGACUAAAGUGAAAGUAAAAAAUAGUCACUUUGGUCCCUGAAUCGAAAAUCAAUAUCCUCAAUUUACUGUUAGAUACCUGACUGUGUAUACUUACUCUCAGUUAGGUCCCCGAAUCGAAAAUCAAUAUCCUCAACUUACUGGUAAAAUCCUUGGCAAGUUGUUAGUUUAACAUGCUCCUUACUAACAACACUAAGAUAUCUAAGCUAAAUACCAAAAUUUUAUUAUAACACUUAUAAAAAUGAUUCCAUAGUUUAAUAAUAAAUGUUUCCUUAACAUAACUAUUAAGUCAUUAAUAUCAACCAUAGAAUAAUCAAGAGUUAUAAUUAGAUACCUUAGUGUUGUCCGGAAGUAGCAUGUUAAACUAACAACUUGCCAAGGAUCUUAGUGAAAUUUCGUGUUUACUGUAAGGGACCUAACUGACAGUAAGUAUAUAUAGUCAGGGACCUAAAAGUAAGUUGAGGAUAUUGAUUUUCGAUUCAGGGACCUAACUGACAAUAAGUAUACAUAGUCGGGGAUCUAACAGUAAAUUGUUGAUAUUGAUUUUCGAUUCAUGGACCAAAGUGACCAUUUUUUACUUUCACUUUAAUCCCUGUGACACAUCAUACUCCUUGUCAACGUGCCACAUCAUCACUUAACAGUUUUUUUAACGGCAGGGCUAAAGUAAUAACGGAAGUGUAGAGUCAGGAACUUGUUUGUAUUUAAUCCUGAGUCAGAGAUCUAUGUGACAGCGAGGUGCAGAAUCAGGAUUAAAGUGACUAUUUGCUCUAUAUAAAAGGCUCUUGAAAAGCAAAUUUAUCCUUCAAAAUCUUCAAUAUAUCGCAAAGUCAUGAAAAACCUUGAAAUUUAUAUUUGGUAUGGAUUUUUCUAUAUUUCGCACAACAUUAAGUAUGUUAGUUUAUCAAAAAUAAAUAUUGAAUUCGCAUAGACUCGUGUCAUACCAUAAGUGUUCAACAAUUAAAAUGAUUUUGAGUAUGAAAAAGUAAAUUGUUUAAACAUAUGAUUUGUGGCUUGUGCAACGUAAGUGAUGAAGCAAGAAUAGAGAGAUAUCAUAUUGUCGGGAUUAAACUCUUUUAACUAAUCUUCUAACGUCCUUUCGUAAUCGAUUAUAUAAUACUCCUAUUUCAAUUAUACCUUAAUCUAUCUUUCAUCGUACAUUGAUAUAUCUUAUCGACUUUCAUUACUUAGCAAAAUAUAGCAGAUUGAUCAAUGACAUAUAAUCAAAUAGUUGGAUACGAAUGCAAAUCUAACCCUAUAUCUAAGCAUUAGUAUCUACACAUGGUUUAAACCAAAUCCUUUAAAUAAACAAUUAAUGUCUCACACUUUCUAAACCAAAAAUUCAUUUUUAGCUCGUAUGUCGAAAAAAGUAUUAAGGACACAAGAUUUAAACAAGCUUUAAAUGUCAUUUAAAAAUAUAAAAGUUUAAAAAUAAUUAAAAGAAUCAAAUUUGACGGUGAAUGAAAAUUUAUGGUAAAUGUUUUUGAAUAACCAUUUAUUUUACAAGACGUAAAUAUGCAAUUUUUUUUAAGGAUUAAAAACAAAUUUGGUAUAUUAUAGCGAUAAAAAAAACACCUCCCUUAUUUACCUCAUAGAUAAAUUUUUAGACACUAAACCAAAAAAAAAAAACAAAUUUGAUACUCCCUUCGUCCUAAAAUGUAAGGAAAAAACACAAUUUCUUUAUCCUAAAAUAUGAGCAAAAAAGGCAAAUUUUUAUCCUAUUUAAUCUUGUUUUUUUAAAACUCAUCUUUUCUAAAAAAUAACCUUUUGUUUAUUAUCAUGAAAUUAAAUGUAAAUUACAUUCAAUUUUUUCUCUCUUUCAUUUUUCCAUAAGCAAUAAUCAAUGAACAUUAUUUUUACAUUUUUCUAUAAAAUUUAUUUCAAAAGAAAACAAAAAUUGGGACGGAGGGGUAUAUUAUAGCGAUAAAAAACUUAUUUAACCUUGACUUAAAUAUUUUUUUUUCCAAAUAGUCUAGUGGCUAGAGCUCACAUAAUUAAUUGUGUGGAGAAGUGAACUGUCCGGAGUUCGAACCCCGACCCUUGCAUAUAAAAUGAAAUAUCUUUACCAACUGAAUUAAACUCACGAAUAUUAAAUAAAUUAAUACUCUUACCGUCCCAUUUUAACUUAGUCAUUGACUCAUUUCACACUUAUUAAGAAAAAAUGUACUCCCUCCGUCCUGAAAUAUAAGCAAAAAAAAUAAAAACACACUUAUUAAGAAAAUCAAUCAUUAUUCAUUGACUACUCUAAAUUUUAUCAAAUAAAAAUUCAAUAUUCCUAAUUUACCCUUACACACAUUGAAAACAAAAACACUUCAUCAGUGACACAUUAUUAAUCACGUGUACUAUUUGUAUUCCAUGCAACUAUCCCUCUACUACCUAGUCUUAAUGACAGAUACUUGUAGUCUGCACCACCAACUUAAAUCAAAACUUCUAAUAAUAUCCUCCUUUUAACGAAAUUUUUUGAAUGGAUUUUAUACCCGCUAAAUGAAAAUUAUCAUUCCCGCCUAUUAAAUUAAAAUUUCACAUUUAAAUAUCUAGUGAACUAUCCAGUUUUUCUUACCUCAAUUUAACAAACAUGCCUUUAGAAAUUGAUUUAAACAUGUCUUUAGAUAUUGAUUUAGAAGCUUGACCUGAUCCAAAUGAUGAAGGAGGUGACGUGGAAAACCGCGAGACUGUAAUUAUCGGCGGAGGUACUGCAGUUUUAGAAGCUCAACAUGAUCCAAAUGAUGAAGGAGGUGCUGCAAUUUCAGAAGAUGCUGCAAUUUCAGAAGAUGAACAUGAUGGUGAUGAUGAAUUCGACGAAGGUGUUUCAUGCAAUUUCACAUGUUAGAUUUGUAUUGUUAUUACUACCCUUUAAUCCAAAAGGAGUUCUUAUGGUGUUUCAUAGUUUUAGAUUUAUGAUUGUUACUACCAUGUUACUACCUUGUUAAAUCAUACUCAGAUUUCAUGAUUGUUACUACCCUGUUAUUACUACCCUGUUAUAACUACCAUUAUCAUUUUUAAGUUUUAAGUUAUGUUUUAAUAACACGAAAGGAGUAUUUGUAAUGAUGGUUUUAUCUUGUAACAUUAUUUAUUAAGUUUUAAUUUAUCUUUGAUUUAUCCAUGUGAGACAGAACCAUCUAAAGGAAAGCGUUCAUUUCUGAGUAAUACCGAACGAGAGGCCGUUGCUCAGAUAUUGUUAAGCGAAAGUCAUAAUGGCAAGCUCAAACGCGACACUGUGGUAAGAUUGGCUUCAACUUAUUCGGUCUCUAAAGAUGUCAUUAUCGAGUUUUGAAACAAAUACGUCAAAGUGGAGAUGCUCGCCAUAAAAAACAAAAAAUUGUGGUAGAAAAAGAAUUGAGGUUGAUAUGGAAAAAGCGCGUGACGUGCCGUUAGAUAAGCGCAUUACAUAUAAAGCACUAGGACAUGCCAUAGGUGUUAACAAGAAUAUAUUGCUGAGAAACAAAAAAGAAGGGAUUUUACGACGAAUUUCAAGUCCAUUAAAGCCACAUUUGAAUGAAAACGAUAUGAAAAGUCGUCUUAGAUUUUGCUUGUCCAAUCUCGAGGAUAGUAGCAUUCCUCAAGAACCGAAGUUUAAGUCAAUGUAUAAUGUCGUCCAUAUCGAUGAAAAAUGGUUUGAAAUGACUAAAAAAAACAAGAAAUAUUACCUUUUAUCAGAUGAGGCUGACCCACAUCGUACGUGCAAAAACAAAAACUACAUUACUAAGGUCAUGGUUUUAGCCGCAGUGGCUCGACCUAGAUUUGACAGUGAUGGUAACGAGACGUUUUCAGGUAAAAUAGGCAUGUUCCCCCUAGUUCAUGAAGUACCUGCAAUAAGGUCAAGUGUCAACAGGGCAGCAUGAACACUUGUUACAAAACCGAUUACUUCCAUAACUAAAGAAGUGUAUCAGUCAAUGAGCUUAUCCAAGCUGUGCAAAAUGCCUUUGACACAUUUUCUAGUAUAGAUUCAAACAAGAUUUUUCUGUCGCUCCAAUUAGGCAUGAUUGAGAUAAUGAAGGCCAAAGGAAAUAAUGAUUACAAAGCUCCUCAUAUGCAAAAAGAUGCGCUUUUUAGACAAGACAAGCUACCCACUACCCUAGAUUGUGAUUGGCACUUGGUCACUGAAACUAUGGAAUACUUAAACAAUGUUCAGUAAGGUAAUUUUUCUAUGCUAAUAUUUUUUCCUUGUUUCAAAGUGAUCGAGUAGGUAAUUUUCUGAUGGACUUUUGCUUAUUUAGGUAUUCAAAUAUUGAUUGAUGAUGGCGUGUGGUAUUGUUUGAGGAGGCUGGUGCGGAAGUUUAUCGUGAUCAAGCUUUGUUUGUGAUCAAGAUUUGUUUGGAUGAUACUAGCUAUGUUUUGUGUUUUUGUGAACAAUGAAUUGAGUUUACUACAUGCAACUAAUUAGCCUUAGUAAAAUAAAGGAAAUUGAUUUGUUUUCAAUUUCUUCGUACUCUUUUUGUUUGCGGUGCAGUAGUAGUAUUGAACCUUGUUUAUGGUUAUUUAUUUUAAUUUUUCUGGAAUAAUGAGAAUUUUGUAAUGCAAUAGUAUAAAUAGUGUUUAUUCUUCAAAUACCCAUAAACAAAUAAUAACGACUCAUAAGCUGAAGAUAUUAGCCAAUUCCAUUAAUUCAAAUAAUAGAAGAAGAUACAAUUCAUUCAAUUCCAUGUAGUAUCAAAUUAUGAAUGAUUAGCCAAAGAUAGAAAAGAAACACACAACAUAAUUAUUCAUAAUUUGCCUUGCUUUAUUUUCAAUGACGUCUAGUAUGAAGAAUCCACAAAAAUCUUCAGCCACCAAUGAACCUCUUCAUUCAAUUCUUCAUUUUCAUAUCCAAAGUCCAAUCCCUCUUCUGGAAAUUUAUUCAAAUCCAAAUCAACCCUGUUCAAAUCCAAAAACCUUAUAUCAUAGGGUUCAAUAACUUGCAAAUCUAAACCAUGUUUCUCCUCCCUUGCAUUAGAUUCACCUUCCAUUCCAUUUGAUGACUUUGUUUUUUUGCAUUUUACCUCGUUAUCAUUUUGAGAAAUUACUUCUUGAUCUUGGUCACUCUCCACCUCUUUAUCUAAUGUGUCUUCCACAAUAAGAAGUGACAAAUUCUUUGUGUCUUCUUCAAUUCCCAAAUCAAAUGAUGGUCCAUCAAACAAAGGUUG
Molecule: long non-coding RNA, 81608 nt
Filed under: Medicago truncatula (barrel medic)
Lineage: Eukaryota; Viridiplantae; Streptophyta; Magnoliopsida; Fabales; Fabaceae
Description: long non-coding RNA (MTRU_LNC006675)
Rfam family: MIR159 microRNA precursor family (bases 25089-25279)
Source: RNAcentral